Molecule: long non-coding RNA, 52233 nt
Filed under: Populus tremula
Lineage: Eukaryota; Viridiplantae; Streptophyta; Magnoliopsida; Malpighiales; Salicaceae
Description: long non-coding RNA (PTRE_LNC002436)
Source: RNAcentral
GAUAAGACCCAAUCACCUUUUGAAUCUGGACAACUUGCGAAAGUUUAUAGCCAAAAAGCAGUAGCAAGUGUCAAUGCACUCUUCAAUGAAGUAAAACCACCUGCGUCGCCAAUGCGGAUUUAUGCACAGUACUGCUGCAAUUGUCAACACCACAAUUAUGUAAAACACACCAAAGCUGGCAUAGAAACUGUCCAUGUCUAUUAAUCCAUCAUCUCCAUUGGAAUUGUUAGGCACUCUCACUGAUGGUGAUUCUGUUUUGUCGCAACUGUUUUGCAAUGGAGGUCCACAAAGAAGAGGAUUCCCUUUAUAACUGCUCUCAUCAAAGGUAGCAAAUUGAUAUUUCAUCUCCGGUGUUCUUCCUGACAAAUUAUUGUACGACACGUUGAAAACUGCUAGAAAGUUCAGUUCAACGAGUUGUGCAGGAAUUCUCCCAUUCAAGUUGUUGUGAGAAAGAUCCAAGCUCUCUACGUGCUUCAGAUUGGAGAAAGAUGAAGGGAUCAAUCCCGUGAGAUUAUUUUGUGACAGAUUUAGAGCGAAUAUGUCACUUAAGUUUCCCCAUUCUGUCGGGAUUUCUCCAGUGAAUCUAUUACAAGACAGAUCCAUAGCAGACAUGUAACGAAGGAUAUCGCCCUCGUAAGUGUAGAAAUUUUUCUUUGCUGUAAGCUCUACAGCUAUUUUUACAUCAAUCUCUGGCCACAUAGUUUUGCUAUCAAUAUGAAAACCUCUGUUACCCAAUUUUCUCCCCCCUAUGGAUGCCAAUAUUUCUUUCUGGCUUCCAUCAUCUUCUGACACCGUAUCUGUGACGACCAAAGUUUUUUCACCCGAUGCCGUAAAAUUUAAAUUGCUUAAACAUAAGGGUAACGGACCAGAAAAAUUAUUUUCUGAAAGAUCCAAUAUGCUUAAUUUCCUUAACAAGCAUACCUGAACAGGAAGUUCCCCAUUGAAUUGAUUAGAUUUCAGAAGAAGAAUGCUCAAUUUCGAUAGUCUAUCAAUCCAAUUUGGAAUUGGCCCAGUUAAGUUGUUAUUGCCAAGAUCUAAUGUCACCAAAUGAGAGCUAUUAUAAAAAGCAUUUGGCAGUGGACCACUCAAUCGAUUUCUGUAUAGGUGGACAUAGCGUAAAUAUGGUGUUUGGAAGCCCAACGACAAUGACCCAGACAGAUUGUUUUCAGAAAGAUCUAAAAAUUCAAGCAAAUAACAUCUGAAAAGCUCUAUUGGAAUGGUACCUUCAAAAUGAUUUCUGGACAAGUCAAUUCCCUGCAAGAAUAUUGAAGAGUUCCCAAUUCCCUUUGGAAGCGUGCCUGACAAAAGAUUGUUACUGAUAUCAACCAACCAAAGUGAUGAUGCAAGAGAAAAGGUGCCAGAUACUUGUCCAACAAAUUUGUUUCCAUCUAGAAAGAGGUAACGCAGGUGAGUCAUGUUGAAAACAAAAGGCGGUAAUCGCCCUUUGAAAUUGUUAUUGGACAGCUUCAAAAACCACAACGAGGAGCCUCCUGUAGGCAAGUUAUGCUCAAGUAGUUCACAAGUCAUAUGAUUGUUGGAAACAUCCAAGUAUGCGAGAGAGCUCAUAUUCCCAAAAGGAGGAAUGCAACCUGUAAGGUUGUUGUUAGCCAUCAAGAAGUUCUUCAAACGUGGAAAAAUCAAACAUGUGUUUCUUGCAAUUUGACCAUGGAUGUUGUUGUCAGAAAUAUCUACUGUCCGAAGGUUGGGUGUUGGAUGUUGUGGCAACUGCAAAGGACCUGUAAUUGAGGUGUCUCUCAAAUAUAAUCGAUUUAACAUUCUAUUAUUCUCAACCAGCCAUGAUGGGAAAGGUUGUCCAAUGAAUUUGUUGUGGGAUAGAUCAACAAACAUCAAAUCAUAUUGGCUAUGGAGGAAGUUUGGAAAUCCAGCCUUGAGUGGUUUUGAAGUACAGUUUGAAGCACUGAAAAAACGAAGCUGGAACUUGGUAGCUGAAGGCUGAAAACUGGGUGCAGGUAUUAGCUCAUUGUUAUCGCAUGCAAUGAACUUGAGGUUGGAGUGGUUCAUAAAUGAACCAAAAGAUAUUGGAACUUGAAAGUAAUUAUUUGAAACUGAGAGGUAUUCAAGCUGCGUAAGAUGGGAGAGGUGACUAAAGGCAAUAUUUCCCUCCAAUUGAUUGUCAGAUAAAUCCAAGAAUUGUAGAAAUGAUAGAUUUCCAAGACAAGGAGGGAGCAAGCCCGUUAGUUUGUUUCCUGAGAGAAAUAGCUGUUCAAGAUUCGUCAGUUCACACCAGCCUGCACAUUAUAUCCAUAUGUUCAUGUCAAGGGAAUAGGAAUAUAUCAAUUAUGUACUAUUCGUUGAGAGAUCUAUUCGAAUACAAGUUUAUUAGCGAUUUAAUUUACCUUGGUGAGGCAGGGUGCCAUUUAGCAUACAGCUUUCCAGAGACAAAAUUCUGAGAGCAGGAAACGGUCCAAUAUUUAGAAGAAAACUUGCUGUCAUGGGAGAAGCUCGAUCCAGGAAUAGCUCUUCAAGUUUGGUGAAAUUCUGCGGUCCUAAAGGAUUAAGAAAGGUGCGUUCUUAAUAUCAUUUGAGUUGAGAUUGAAGGAAGCGGAAACAUAAAGGGAUUGGGUUAUUAAAAAAAAAUUAUUAUGGGAAAUUAAAAUCAUUUCCGACAUAAAUUUCUAUUUUAUUGAUCCAUAUGUAUAACCAGCUUAUAAAAGGAAAAACGGAGAAAUUUUUGUUGAUAAAAUUACUAAAUAUCGUCAUAAACGUAAUGGUUUAAUAACAUGAAAAUUCUUUUAUUCUUUCAUGGGAAAUUUUUAGAUUCAUCAUUUGACACAUAUUUUUGCUAUCCGAAGAAAGGAGCUUGAGAUUUGAGUGGUUCAUAAAUGAUUCAACUACUUAACAAAACUGGGACUUGAUUGUAAGACACAUCCACCAGUUGUAAUAGAUGACAAGUUUCUCAAACAAGUUGUGAUGAGGGACACGUAUCUACAAGUUUAAACUCAGAAAGAAGUCUGAAUGUGUCAAAUAAUCUUUUAAUUACCUUGAGCAGGUCCGGUGCCAUGGAAGUCAGCUCUGGUCAAGGAUAAAACUUUAAGAGUAGACAAGGGUCCAAUGUUCCGAAGAAAGCUUGUUGGGAGAGAAGAAUAAUCGAGGAACAUUUCUUCAAGGCUAGUCGAAUUACACAAUCCUGUGGAACAGAUAAGAUAAAUCCAUUAAUGAAAGUGAUAUAUAAAUAUCAUGUUUUAGGCUCCAAACUGUAACUGACCUUUACCAGAGUGUAUUCCUUUAAAUUUGCUCCCAGUAGCAUAUAAGCUCUUGAGGGAUGGCAACGCUCCCAAUGACUCUAUCAAAAUGCUUUCCUUGAAGUCAAUUAUUUCCAGAUACAAGAUUUCUAAAUUCCUCAAACCUGUGAUGGAGAGCACAAUUAAUAAUAAUGGCUUUUUUAUUUUUUAUUUUUUAUUUUUUCCUGAUUCCAAGUGGUACAGAUAUGUGUGUUCUACAAUUUGUUUUAUUUAUGUGUUGUCAUCUGGAAUAAUUUGGAGCACUAUCGUAGAAUGAGCAGGGGUGCAUGCAGAGUAAUUGAUCUAGCAGUUUCCGGCUGCUGUGUUCUACAAAUUUUUGUUCUUGACUUUUUGUUUGCUCUAUCUAGUUGGAAGUUUUAGCUCAAAAUUGUUGAUAUAAAUAAUUUCUAAUGUUAAAGAUUAAUAUAUAAUUAUUAUUAGAAACUUACCCAACAAUUUAAGUCUUUGAAUUAAAUUAAUUUUAAUAUGAUAUUAGAAUUUUAAUAACCAAAUGUUUAUGAAUUUAAAUCAUCUCACCUCCAUUCCUUUAAUAUUUUUUAAAAAAUAAUCAGCACUAGCGAAAGGUAUACCAUGUAAGAAUCCAUAACUAUUUCACUUGAAAAAAUAUGUUAAAGGAAUUAAUUAUAUAAAAGCAUUUAUAGGGCUUCAUUCAUCUGCUUGAUGAUUAAUGCACAGCUAAUUAUUAAAAAAGUUAACAAAAUAAUAAAUUAAGCCUCUCUAAGGAAUGUCAUCGAGGUAGGAAUGAUUUACCAUUGAGACCAAUUGAUCCUGUAAACUUAUUUUUUGAUAGAUGUAGAGAUUUGAGAGUUGAAAAACCACCGAGAGAUGAUAAAAUACUAUCGUUAAAUUUAUUGUCACUCAGUUCAAGUUCCUGCAAUUCCCUCAACCCUGAUGCUAGCUCGUGAAAACCUAUAAGAAAAUUGUCAAAAGCAAAAAAAUUAACAAAUAUAUAUAUUUCAACCAUCCAUUAUCCAUAAAAGUUCAAUGAAAUAUAAAUUUAUGUAUUAAUUUUUUAUAUACCAAUUGUUCCUGUGAACCUAUUGUUUGAUAGAUGUAGAGAUUUGAGAGUUGAAAAACCACCGAGAGAUGAUAAAAUGUUGUCGUUAAAUUUAUUGUCACUCAGAUCAAGUUCUUCCAACUUUCUCAACCCUGAAGCUAGUACUUGAAAACCUGAAAGAAAAUUGUCAGAAUAAAAAAGAUUACACCUGAAAUUUAUUUUUCAUUGAACUUUUUUGGAUAUUGGGAUAUUGUAUGAUAUAUAUACCCCAAUAUCCAUAAAAGUUAAAUGUAAAGUUACUUGAAAUAUAACUUGAAGUGUUAACUAAAAACAAUUGAACCUUGAUUCUCUAAGACACCAUCUAAUCGGUUGUCGCUUAAGUGGAGAAUCUCCAAUUCUUUGAAAGGCAGAAACAAAGAUGCAUUGAGAUCCAAGUCUUCGAAUGGAAAAGAACUUACACCUGAAAGAUGAAGUUCGAUCACUCGGUUUGUGGUGCUGUCGCACACAACCCUACCCCAGUUACAGCAAUUAAAAUGCUCUUUAUCCCAACCUUUUGAUAGAGGUAGUAUAGAUAACCCAGCAGUUGCAUGACUGAACCAAGCUUUUAUCUCUAAGAGACUAAUUCUCUCUUCCUCUAAACAACAAUGGCACCGCUCGUUGACGAAGGCCAGUGCCAUGAGCAGCAUCCACACCCACAUUUGCCUCAUCUUCAUAUUGACUCUCCUACUUGACAAAAUACAAUAGCAAUCAAGUUGUCUCUUAUAUACAAUUUUGUCCUCUUCAUGCAUUUGAUCGGACAGUGACAGUUAUCUGUAUCAUUGAAUUAAUUAUCCAAGGUAGACUUGGGCUUAAUUGAAUGGGAGAGUCUUCACGGACAGUGCUAGCCGUGGGCCCGCACCACGGCACAGAUCAACGUGGUUGUUGAUAUAUAUUUUUUUGUUAUACUAUCUUAUUAUUUAAUUCUUUUUUGUUUUUAUGUUUUAUGUUUCCCUGAUCUACUAUUGCAUUUAGUACCUUAACAAUAUGCAUUCAUUGCCAUCUAGAAUUUCAUUCAAUAGAGCGAUUAAUCAAGAAACUUAUUAUUGACUUUCAUUUAAAUUAGAAUACAUGAAUAAUUUAUGAGUUUGAAAAAUGUUAUCCAUCCAUAUUAAUUACACAAAUUUUAAAAUAAAUUGCAAUUAAGUUUUUCCAAACAAAUAUCAUUACAUAAGGAAUACGUACGUACUCAAGACAUAGGAAGCCAAGUUUCCAAGAUAAUCCAUUAUUCAAUUUUGUGAAUGAUGAAACUUUUCAAGAUAAUCCUUAUAUAAUAAGGUUUGAUCAAUUUUUUCGAGAUUGUGUUAUCAUAAAUCACAUAUCGUUUAAGUUUCCAGCUUAUAAUAAUAAUUUACACGAAUUAUUGGUGAGAAAUCUCCAAAAUCAUUUUAAAAAAGACAAAUCUAUAUGUCUUAUAGUGCUAUCUCUUUUUUUGUGUUUUCAAAUGUUUUUGUAUUAUGUGUACAUUAUAUCAUCUCUCAUACACAAAAUAUGAGACAUAAUAUUUUAUUUUUAGGAAAAAUCUAAUAAUCCCAUAAAUGAUCAAAUAUCAAUUUGCUUUCCCUAAAUAAUAUCACAUAUAUUAUUUCAAAAUAGUUUUAGAAAUUUGUUCAAUCAAGUCUGUACUUAAUUUUUCUAGGUUUAUAAUUGUAAUCACGUGUAUCAACUUCACUUUAGUUCUUAAUUUCUAAAACUUAAUUACAAUCAAGUCACAUUUAAUUAAUCAUCUCAUUUUAAUUUUUGAUCAAUGAUUUUUAAUGUGUGUGGCCAAUUGAGUUCUUAACAAGUUGGCUCAAAUAUAAAUAACAAUCAUAAAUAAAAUACAAUUAAACAAUUUAACAAUUUAACUUAUCAUUAAUUUAACAAAUUAAUUAAUUAAUAUUUGAAAAUCAAGUGCAAUAUUUAAUAACAUGUCAUAACCCUCUAAAUAUUAAAAAGGUCAUACAUGUUUUGACUUAACUUUUUAUUGACUAGUUUCUCAAAGUAAUUAUUAUCCCUUUAUUAAGAAUAUUUUAAUUUAGAUAUUAGAGCACAAAGUAUAUAUGUUCUAUCAAAUCAAAUUUAUUAUCAACAUCAUAGUCAUAGAUUAUUUGAAUAAGAUUUGAAACUCUUUACAAAUCUUAUUACACCUUGCACAAUGAUUUCAUAGUCAAUACUAUUUGUCGCACGUGUAUGGCAUCGCGGCGAUCGUCCACCCUCAAGGAAAAAUGUAAUGGACUAUCUGGUAAAUGUGGAGAGACAAGGAAUUCUUGUCACUUAUCAAUGGAAAAUUUAAAUAGGAGUCGCCACCUAGUAUUCUAGUCACUAGGAACCCUAACUGGUCUUAGAGAUCGGAUACGGAGACUGGUUGCGUAAAGGGAAUGUAUUAGCACCCCAAAUACUCCCUACCUAAGGUAAGCUGCAUUGUUUUGUCUAAUAAAAUCUAAAGUCUUGUUGUGGUUUCUAAUUGUCGGUCCGUUUACAGUUUAAGAAAAGUCCUCUGUAAGGAGAUCCUUAUCUUAUCAGGUAAAACCUAAUUAUUUUAAGUUGUCAAAAGAAAAUACCUUUUUAAUAUCGGGAAUACAUUUUACGUAUAAAUUCAUAAUCUUUGAUACUAAAAUCAAACAAAAUAAAAAUUUUUUUUGUUUUUGAAAUUUUGGUCAAUGUUCUCUUCACUUUAAUAAACUGGUUAUUAAAGCCACAAUGCAUGCUAAAUUUUUUUUUUUUCUGGUGUAUGAAAAACACAAUAUGAUUUUUUUAGCUUUUGAGACACUUGUCCAUAUACACAAAAAGAUUUUUUCUUUUUCUCAAUUUUUUUUGUAUUUUGGAAGUUUUAACAAAAAUCGGGUAUUUUAAUAUCGAAUUUGUAUGUUUACGACGCAAAAUACUGACCGAUAUUAAGCAAAACAAAAGACAUAAAUCAAAAGGAGGAAAUCAGAAAAUAUUAAAAAUAUUUUUUUAAAAUGGGCCGGACCCAGCCCAGAUCAAUGGGCUGGGCCGGACCCAGCCCAGAUCAAUGGGCUGGGCCAGACCCGACCCAAAAAACUAAUGGGCUGGUUACUGUGUAUAAGCACAGUAACCAGCCCUUCACUCUUUCCUGCAGAACGUGAAUUAUUCAUGUUUUGCAUGCAAAUACAGGCAGGGACAAGAAGAGGAAAAUGAAUGAGGCAGCAGGAGGUUACCUAGGGUGGCGUCGAGGCGGUGUUGCUGGCAGCGGCAGUGCUACUAUCGUAGUGGUAGUGUUGGUGGCCGGCGGUGCUUCUCCUUUUUCUUCCUCUCCCUCCUUUGUUUUUUUUUUAUUAUUAUUUCUUUUUCUUUCCUUUUCUCCUCCUCUUUUCUGCUAUGUCUUGUCUCAUCUCUUCUCUUCUCUCUUAUGUUCCUCUAUUUUAUUUUUUUCUUCCCUCCCCUCUGUUUUUUGUUCUUUUUUCGGGUCUGUUUUUCUUCUUCUCUUUCUCUCUUCUUCCUUCUUUUUCUCUGCUCUUUUCAGUCCUCUUGCCUAUCUGCUCUCUUGUCUCUCUUUCUCUCUCUCAGUUUCCCCACCUUUCAUCAUGCUCUCCCCCUCUGUAUUUAUAGGUGAAAACAAAGGGGGGGGGGAGAGGUCGAGGUGGCCACUGUGUUGCCACCCCAAACCGCCCAAGGGGUACGUCCCCUCCAUUCUUCCACCACGUGGCAAGCAAAUGGGUUGUAUCGGCAUCUUUUUUAGCUUUAAGAGAGAGAGGGAGCUAGUGAAAACAGGGGAAUAAAACCUUCUUCUUCCCCUAAUUUCUACACAUCGAAGGGAAGAAAGGUUGUAUCGUUCAAAAAGGCACCAUUUUGGGCUUUCUCUCUUUCUUUGUUUUUAUGAACAGUAUAUGAAACGACGCUGUUUUGGUCAAAAUGCGUCAUUUUAUUUAAAUGGAUUUUGGUGCCAAAACGUGUCAAAUUCAAAAUCAGGCCUUCAAUUUGCAUGUGUUUUACAAUUUAGUCCUUGGUCUCGGAUUUCUUCAAUUAAGUCCCUAAUUGGCCAUCAAACUUCAAUAUUUAUGCAAUUAAGCCCCUAAUUUGACCAAAUUAAAUCUUAAAAAUUAUAUUUUGACCCCAAAACUUUAAUUUAUUUCAAUCAAGCCAAAUUAACUCCAAAAUUAAUUUUUCUUGCAAUCAAAACCUCCAUAAAUUCAAUUAAACCUUUAAGAAAAUUUAAUUGAGUCCAUAAACCUCUGAUUUUGGUCUUUUCUUUCUCAAAUUAAAUUUUCUUUGUCAACAGGGCUAUCAUCAGUCAACAAAAUAUUGUCAAAUUUUAAUUUUUGUAUUUUUAAACCUUCUCAACCAAUUUUUAACCCUUUUUUAGUGUUGCUGAAGACUGUGAAGAUGAUGGUCAACGCCGGUUCUCGUCUCUACGCUUUCAUCCGAUGGGCUGAGUUUGCGUCUCCUUUGCUCCUGGUUUGAGAUUCUGUCAACUUCAGUUCUGAGAUGAAGGGACAAAGAAGAUGGUGGGGCUGCUCCUUGUCUUUGCGUCGUUUCUCUGCUUUUAUUUUUCUCAGUUUUUUCGUUCCUCGGUUCUGCUUCCCCCCUCCUCUUCUUUCAUUCCCUGGCUUCUUAUAGAGCCAGAGAACGUGGUAAUCAGGGUGAGCCACGUUCCCACGAUAUGCAGUUACAGAUGUCCUGCUGAAACGGUCUUGAGCGACGAAGAAGGUGGAGCGUUUGAACUGGAAAUGGCAACUUUCGUUUUGGACCUUGAAUUUUAGAAAGUUUUGUAAUUAAGUCCCUAGUUAAAUUGUAAUUGGACCCCUGCAGUUUGGCAUCUUUUACAAGUUAGUCCUUGGAUUUUAAUCUGUUUGCAAUUGUGCCCCCAAUUAACCCCAAACUUUGCUAUUUUUCCAAUUAAGUCCUUGAUUUCAUUAAUUAAAUUAAAUCCAAGUCCAAUUAAGUCUUAAACUUAUCAACUCUCCAAUUAAACCCUUUGAUUUGAUAAAGUAAAUUAAUUCCAAACUCAAUUAAGUCUCAAAACUUAUUAAUUCUCCAAUUAAACCCUUGAUUUAAAUAAUUAAACUAGUCAAGAAUUUAAUUAAAUCUUUAAACUUCCAAUCAUGUUGCUCCUAACCCAAAUUUUAAUUCAUUCUUUAUUUAUUAAAAUUUUUACUUGUUUUUCAUUUUAGUAAAUAAAAUAAUUAAAAUAAAAGGUAAAAAAUUGGGUUAUGAUAAUUAUUUUUAUCAGAUUUUAUAUAUGAUGCAUCAAGUUUUUUAAUGUUAAUUGAAAAAAAAAUUAGGAUUACAUCCUAGUCGUAGAUAUGAUUAUUAUUCAUUUAAUGUUAAUAGAAACAUAUAUAUAUAUAUAUAUAUAUAUAUAUAGCAAAAGCAAAAGGUUUGAAUUGGUGGUUAAAAACAAAUAUUUUUUUAUUUUGCGGUUCCACCAGAUGCACCAAGUAAAUUAUUGUGAGGGUGCUCCCCUUCAGUAAAACUUUUUUUAAAAAUAAUUUAGUUUCGGUUGACUCACAAAAUUGAGACAUCUAGCUCAUGACUCAUGGCUUUGGCUUUAGACGUAGCUGUAACUUCGCUUACUAUGCUUAUUAUGCAAAGCAAUUAUUUUCAAGCUUCUGGAACGGGGCGUUCCUGCAUCUUCUUUUAUGGCAGAAGAGAUUAGAAAAUGACUUCUAUUGUCAAUAAUUUCUUCUUCCUUGUGAAAUGAUUUCCCGAUACAGCUCUUAAUUUCAACACCUGCUUGCUCUUCUUCUUUUCUUAGUAGACCUGGGAAGUCAAGUUUCCUAAUUAUCCACAUCAUCAAUCUCGAUCCCAUCAAAAAUGAAUUUGGUGGAAGAAAGAAAAAAAAUAAAAAAAUAUCAAUUAUUUUCAAGCUUGUGGAACGGGGUGUUCUUCCAUUUUCUUGUUUUAACUGUUUUCUUCGUAGACUUGGGAAGUCAUGUGUUAUGAACAAUUGAUUUGAUCUUGAAAAUGACUUCUUUCAAUAAUUUCUUCUUCCUUGUGAAAUAAUUUCCCGAUACAGCUCUUAAUUUCAACACCUGCUUGCUCUUCUUUUCUUAGGAGACCUGGGAAGUCAAGAUUCCAAAAUAUCCACAUCAUCAAUCUCGACCCCAUCAACAAUAGUGCCCAGCAGGAAAAAUUAGUUUCUGACGGUGAGAUGAUGCCAAAAUUGUAGUCAAAGAGACUUGGAACUCCCUGAUGAUGGUCUCUAGCUCUGGAGGUUUAUUCUGCCAAAAUUGCAUGGGCCGUUUUACAGCCUUCGUAAUGGGCUUGGCUACUUUGGGUAAUUAAAAAAACCCAAAUCGAUAAUGUUUUUUUUUUUUUCCUUUGGUAUCCGUUUAAUCAAUCUUCUGGUUUGAUCCUUGAUAGUGCUGUGUUUUGAUGCUUGUCGAUUAGCCACAAUAAUGUUAAAUUUACAAGGACAGAUCCAAGAAAAGCAAUGCAGGCCUGUAUUGGUCUCUGGGAGUCCCCUGAUAAAGGCUGCAAUCAUUGCUUGAACCCUUGUAAAGGGGCCUUUACACAUGAGGUCCACUGAAGAAGUACAACACCGUUUUUUUAUUUAAUUCUUAUGGUUUAAAUCUACUAAUAACUUAGUCAUUUUGCAUGCUAUUUUUCCACUUGUUUUGUAAAAUAGAGAAAAGAACAAAGUAAAUCUUUUUUUUUAGUUUAUGGCAUGUUCUCAAAAGUUUUAUUGAUAUUAAUUAAAUAAAAAAGACAUUGAUAUAGCUGAAAAUUGAGAACGAGAGGGAUGAUCAGGAAUGGAUUAAGCAAAAUGGGCUUGAAAAAGACCCAACAGCAGAGAAAAAUCUGAAAUAAACUCUUGAUGUUCAAAAUAGCCCACAAGCAAGGAAAAUUACCAAAAUAGGUAAAUACUGAUUAUUCAAUAAAUAAAGAAACUUCCUAGAAUAAGUGUGACAUCCUUUAAUGUUUUUACCUUUUAGAACAGUUUAUCCAGGUCGAUUCCACUUUGCUUCAACCGACCACAAUGAUCCCAUAUCCAUCUAUACAAAAAUCAAUUAAGCGGUCCAUUGACACAUUAACUUCUCUGGCUCCAUUCCGUCCUGGAUUAGCAAUCUUUCAACAUUGAGUGUUCUUCUUCUAAAAGCUACCUGAUCUUGUCAACCUAUGACAGAUCUAAAGACUUGAGAGCGGAAAGCCCAUUAAAACAUGAUAAAAUGCUUUUAUCAUUAUUAAAUCGGUUCCCACUUAGGUCAAGUACCUCCAGUUUUGAUGGUAGGACUUCGAAGCCUGGAAGAGAAACAUCAAAGCAAGAUAAUUGACAUUAAACACCGACCUUGAUUCUCAAAAUAAUAUAAAUUUAUUCUAUGAUUAUAAGAACAGAAAGAUUGAACCGACCAUGAUUCUCAAAGCAACCAACUAAUCCAUUACCGAUCAAAUCAAGACUUUGCAAUUCGUUAAAAGGCAGAAACAAAGAUGCGUUGAGAACCCAAUCCCCCAAACUCUCAUCCCUUGCACCAAUAAGAGAGAGUCGGAUCACUCGCCUUUGAGUGUUAUCACACUUGAUCCCAUACCACUCACAACAAUUACUACUGUACUCCGCCCAAUCUCUCAUGUAAAUGCUGUUUGGAUUGAUCAAAGGUUUGAUCUCCAUGAGACCAAUUCUCUCUUCCUCCAAACACCCAUAAGAACGACCACACCAUUUCGCCAUCCAAAGUCAAUAAUGUGACCAAAAUCCAAACCCACAAUAUCUUUUUCACCACCAUCUUAUAUUGUUCUAUAAACCACUACGUAGAAUUUUGUUGUUUGUUAUGUGAGUUUGGGCAACCCACAUUUGGUCCCAUUUAAAACACACUUUGGCCAUUUCCAUGAUUUUAUCUGCGUAUCCUGUGCAGGUUCCAUGAUUUUAUCGGGGAGUCAAUUUAAGUUAUUUUCCUGCCACUUUCUCAGCAGUUAUUCUCGUAGAGUCCUAUUUUGUGUUAAACGUUGGGUGCGUAUAAAGUAGUCAAAAGUAGGAUAUCCCGCUUUCUCCAUUGCUGUUCUGCAACAAUAUUUUGGUAGCCUUAUAGCACUCACUACUGGAGAAAUUGAGCUAAAGCAUAAAAUGUCAUGUACGCGGAUGCUUGACUUGCGGUGUGCCAUCUUGACUCUUAAACACCACCGAGCAGUAAUUUCAUGGUGAUUUCCUUAUUAAUACUGGUGGUCUUCCAGAAUCUUUAUCCAAACAACCCUUGCUAGACCGGGAUCGGGGUUGAUCAGGGAUAAGACUCGUGUCAUGACUUUUGAUGAGAUCACUAGGGCUCUGUUUGUUUGCAGGAAAGUGAAUUCCUUUUGGAAAGUGAAUUCCGGGGAAAGUGAAUUCCUGGAAAGUGAAUUCCGGGAAAGUAUUUUCCGAUGUUUGGUAGUGUUAUGGAAAAUGAACUGGAAAACACUUUCCAGUGUUUGGUUGUAUUAUGGAAAAUGAACUGGAAAAUAAUUUAUUAAUGAAUUAAUUUUUUUUUUAAAUUUAUCUAAUAUAUAUAUAAAAUAUCUAAUAUAAAAUAUUUAAUCACUUACAAUAAAAAAAAAUGAAAUCUAAAAUGUAUAAUGAUGAAUUUUUUUUAUUAUAUUCUAUAUUCAUACAUAGCUUAUUUUAUAAAAUAUAACUAUAUAUAUCAUAUCAUAUUAUAGAGAAAUAAGCUUGUGAAAUGUUUUUUACUAUUCCAUGAAACUAUUUAUAAUUCCAUUACGUACGAAAUAUAUCUGACAAAAAUUAUAGUUUUAAUAAUAUUUUUAGCAUGUAACAAAAUUGGAUAAAAUAUUAAGGUUUAAAAUUUACUCUAAACUAUUUUUUUUUAAUGUUAAAAAAAAUAGCACACUUAAAAAAAAAAAAAAAAGAAUCCUACAGGCAAGUGAACAGUGCAAGAGAACUGCACUGUUCACUAUUUUUCCAGUAAACAGUGUACGCAAUACACUGUUCAUGUUAAUUGCACUAUUCAUUGAACAGUGCAAUUAACAUGAACAGUUAAGAAAAAAUGGCUGCUUUUCACCGCUGGCCACUGUCGGAAAGUGUUUUCCUUUCUUUAACAAAAGAAAACACUUUCCUUUGGCAACACUGAUUUAUUUUCCAUUGACUGAAUUCAUUUUCCAUUGACUUUUUUUCUUGUUGUUGCCAAACACUGGAAAAGCAGGAAAGUGAAUUCCAGGAAUUCACUUUCCUGCAAUCAAACACGGCCUAGAUUAACUUUCAUUUUUUGCUAAUUUGGUUGAAGAAAGAAAUAUUUAGCCUGAUUUACUUCCAUAUUCAUUUUCUUUUUAAUACAUACAUGCUUGUAACAAGACAGGAUAAAAGCCAUGUAAACAAGGUAAUUAAAAAAUGUCUUCCGGCAAGUUUGUUUGUUUUUCCCCUUUAUUAUGAUAUAUAUACACGAAAGAAGAAAAUGCAUUGAUUAAAAUGCAUAGACCACCGUGUGGGCCAAUAAAAUGAAAACAAAAGACAAUAUCAAUGGUUUGCAAAAAAAGAAAAAAGAAAGUUUUCUGUUAAAUUUAUCUUUAUGUUAAUUACUUGAUUAACUAAACUUAAUCAUGUAAUAUUGAAUUAUUUGAUGAAAAACUUAUUUAAAACAGUAUUAAUUGACAUAUUUUAAAGUAAAAUAAAAAACAAACCCCGCUUACUUGCUUAUUUUUAAUGUGAAAAAUUAUUUUUUAACAUAAAUUCUUUAACAUAUUAACAUAAAAAAGUUCAAUAUAAUUAAAAUAAAUUGUGAUUAACAUGCUUUCUGAACCAAGCUUUUAUAUCUAAGAGACUAAUUCUCUCUUCCUCCAAACCACAAUGGCAAAUUGUGCCAUGAGCAGCCCUUUUGUCUUCUGGGCUGGAACAUCAGCCCAGCCCACGCGGAUGGGCUGAGUCCAGCCUUGUAGCUGGACCAAUACAGGCCCAGCCCACAUGAUUGGGUCGGGUCUGGCCCAGUUCAAUUUAAUGUUGGAACAUCAGCCCAGCCCAUGUGGGUGGGCUGAGUCCAGCCUUGUAGCUGGGUUAAUACAGGCCCAGCCCCCACAAUCAGCCCAGUUCAUUUCUUUUUUAAAAAAAAAAAAAAAAUUAUUUUCAAAGAAAUUGCAAUUUCCCCGUGUAUUUAUUUUACGUCAUUUUGAUUAAUAUUGGUCUGUAUUUUUAUAUCAUAAAGAUAUAAAUUCGGUAUUAAAAUAACCGGUUUUCAAAAAAAAAUAUUUUUGUUUUCAUACAUACGGCCUAGUUUCUCAAGGCUAAAAAUAAAUAAAAUCAUAUUGUAUCUUCAUACAACAAAGAAAACUUCAAUAUAUAUAUAUAUAUAUAUAUAUAUAUAUAUAUAUAUAUAUAUAUAUAUGUGAACAUGUGUUUUGGCUUUAAUAACCAGUUUAUUAAAGUUACGAGAACUCGGCCAAUAUUUCAAAAAAAUCAAAAAAUAUAUUUUGUUUUGUUUUAUUGUCUGGGAUUAUGAAUUUAUAUAUAAAACGUAUUCCUAAUAUUAAAAUGGUAGUUCUUUUAUAGACAUUAGAACAGUUAUGUUUUACCCCCAUAAGAUAAAAACCUCUUUACUGAGAAUGACUUUUCUUGAACCAUAGACGGACCAACAUGAUAAGACCUUAUAUUUUUUAUCAGACAGUGAAACAAUGCAACUUACCUCAGAUAGAGCGUAUUUGGGGUGUUAAUACCUUCUCUUUACGCAACCAGUCUCCGUAUCCAAUCUUUGAGACCAGUUAGGGUUUCUAGUGACUAGAAUACUAGGUGGCGACUCUCCUUCUAUUUUUUCACUGCUAAGACACAAAAAAUUCCUUGUCUCCCCAUUUUUGCUGGAAUAGAUACAAUUGCACCUAAUGAGGAGAAGUGGUGGGCGAUCAUCGCGACGCCGUACACAUGCAACACAUGUAAAACGGUUUCUAUAUAUAUAAAAGGAAGAAAGAAGAAAAUGCAUUAAAUAAAACAUGGAUAUCUUUGAAUGAAGAAAUUUAGGACACCGCUGACGUAUAUAGACAAAGUAUGCCAAGAACGAGGGGGGGCAAAAACAUUAUCAAUGGCUUGAAAGAACAAGACAAAAUAAAAUCAUUAGUUUUGAGCUUCAGAAGACAAUUUUAGCCAUUUAAUUUUGUCUUCAACUCGUUACAAAAAGCCUUGUCAUUUGAGAUUUCAUGCUUGUAAUGUUUCUGUUUUCAAUUAGUAUUACGCUUCCAUCUGUCAGAAUACUGUUGAACUUGACAAGAACUUUGAGCAAAUUCCAAUUUGAUUUUUGUAGCGAAUUAUAUCACUUAAUUGUUUGCUUAGGCUUAUUUUUAAUGUUCAAUGAAGUUUCACCAAUCAGUCAUCAAAUUCUGUAAAUGUUGCAGAUGAUUGCUAGGAAUAAAUCACAGUCAUUAAAUUUCUUCAUUUUGGUCCUUAAAUUUGUUUGCUAUGCUGUAGUUCUUUAUUUUUCGUGGAUAAAUUAUUUGGUACAGAGUUCUAAUUAAUAGCCAAAAAAGAAAAUAGCUCUGAAGAUAUCAGAACAACUGAAAAGAGAAGCAAAUAAUUGAUAAGGUGGGAGAAAAGAAUAGCAAAAUGCAUAGGCAAAUUUCUACAGUAUCAACUGACAAUGUGGAAGAAGAGAAUAUCAACCUGAUAGAUCAUAUAUGCGAGGCUUAUGUGGUUUACGAACACCUGAUUUGCAGAAGCUGGGGAUAAUGUUGAAACUCAAAUACACUCCUAUACAAUGAAAGGUUUUCUUGAAAACUAUCAUAAUUAAAGCAUAAAUUCAAUGAAAACUAAAUUUGCUGGAGGGGUUUCACAGAUUUUGACCAGAUUGAAUUUCACGAGGCGUCUAGCGUGAAUGAAUUAGGGUUUUCUUCUAGCCUUGAAAUUAUAGAGGAAUAGAGAAAAACAAAAACUCAUAUUUUUCUGAAAAGUCUAUAAUUCAAUAAUCUAAUCUUAAAACAAUACUUCAAUUGUUGAAAUAAAAGUUUUAAACCGAUCUAAUUAAAAGAAUUUAAGAUUAAGUGUGAAAAAUAUAAAAAAUACAAAAUUAUUUAGGAAAAUAAUUAAAAUAGCAAAAAUAGAAUCUUUUGACCUAACUUUGAAAAGAUCCUGUGGUGAUGGAGUCUAUAAAAUUAUCUAAUAAAAUUUAAGUAUAAUAUAAUAAUUAAAAUUAUAAUUAUAAUUAAAGCAUAAAAUGUCGUGUACGCCGAUGCUUGACUUGCGGUUUUCCAUUUUGAUUUUUAAAUACCAGAAAACGGUAAUUUCCUUAUAGAAACUGGUGGUCUCCUCGCGACCUUUUUUCUCAAAUAACUGUUGUUAGAGCAUGAUUGAAGUUAGGAUUUAACCCGUGUCAGAAACUUAAUGACUCUCCUCACUAACAGUAAUUUAUUAAAUAUUUUUAAUAUACUUAGUUCAUGUGAGGUUGUGUUUUCAAAAUCUUCCGAGAAAAAAGGACUAAAUGAUGACACACACGACAUUAAUGCAAAAAUAAAAGAUAGCACUACUGGCCAAAUUAAAUUUCACGAGAUGUAUAAAUUCAAACUAGGAUUUUCCAGCCUUUAAUACUCUAUGGAGAAAAAAACUCUAAUAUUUUUAUAAAAAGCUUAUAAUUUAAUAAUCCAAUCUUAAAACAAUAUUUCAAUUGUUGAUAUAAAAAAUUAAAACUGAUCUAAGAAAACUAAGUGGAAAAAAUAAUAAAAUAUAUUAUUUUCAGAAUAUAUUAACAAUUUAUUUCUUGAACAUGAAUACCAAGAAUAGACAGAGAGACACAGAGGAAUCAUUCACAUUUGCACUUGAAAGAAGCCAACUGUAUGCAAAGAGGGCCAAGAAGAACAAAUGAAUUAGUUUGCUGAAACAGACAAUACAAACAAAAGGAGAAGAAUGAGAAAUCAGAUGGGCAGUGUGAUGGUAUUUUCAGAACUAUGGUUGUGCCUUUUGGAAGAGAAUGUGCUUCUUCUCUGACCAUUGUGUACAAUUAUGGUCGUUGUUUCAUCAAAAUCAGAGGGCUGAUUCUGCCUUCUCCUUUACAGCUUCCAAAAGAAAAGGUGAGAAUGGGCUAUUCUUGCUUUUGAUAUUUGAAAUCAUAACAUGCUCCACUGAUUGACUUUUGGUGUAACAUUUUGAUCCUUAAACUUCACUUGGCCGUAAUUUCCUGAUGAUUUCUUUAUGGGAAACAGGUUGUCUUCUCGCAAUCCUUUUCCAAACAACCCCUGUUAGAGCAUCAUUAAAGUUUUGAUUUGUACCAUCAUCAAAAAAUGACUGUCAUCAUCAUCACAACGUACUUCCAUUUCAAUUAAUUCUUUAUAUUAUAACGCAGCAGAACAUAAAAUAAUGGGUGAAGAUAUUUUAGCUGAUAAUGGGUGAAGGGAUAUUUUUUUUCUAAUUGAAAACGACUUGUCAGCUUUAGAAAAUGCAUGCAGGGCCCAGUUUAAUUUCAAUUUCUCAUACUCUCGUUAAUGCAAGUUUGGACAGCUUGGGGAUGUGUCGUCCAUCCGGUUUCCUUUUUUGAUCGGGAGUCAAUGGGAUUAGUAAUUGACACUUCAUCAUCAAAUCAAAAUUAAAAAUGUUAAUGAACUCACAAUUAAUUGCCAUUAAGCUCCAUUGAGUGUAAACAAUGAAUUUAUAAAAUAGUCAAAAGUGGGAUGUCGUGAUUUCAACAAUGCCGUUUCAGAAAAUUGAUAGUCAUGAUGAAAAGAAGAAGACAGAAUUGUUGAGUUGAAACGUGAACGUCGUGUUCUCCUGAUCAAUUGUAUAGUGAAGAUGGUGGAACUGAUGCGGGUGCAUAGCACCAACCAUUACUUCCCUAAUGAUUUCCUUGCGGAAGAAAUUAUUACAUUUUUAAAGUUAAAAGUGCUAAAGCACAAUUCAAAGAAAAUAAGCAGUACUAAACUUAACAAGCUAGUUCAAUGGAGGAGAAUGGUGUGCUGAAACACUAUGAUUUUCAAAAAAAUUGAAGCAUAUCAGAUCCAUGCUGCUGCAUUCGCAAGAAACGAGCACCCAUCAACAAUGUGCUAAAUGUCAAUGCAGAGCUUUAAAUCAUCUACAGAGGCUCAUGAAGAAAAUAGGCAUAAAUGAUAACAGAUAACACACCAGAGCACUCUACGUAAACUGAUAUCUUUAGAAAAUUCAAAGGCAUGAAUGAAAAAGAAAAGCUAGAAAUAUCUAAGUCAGCUCUUAAUUUGUAACAGUCCACAACUUCAUGUUUGGUGUGUACUGUAAACUAUGCUCUCCACAUAAUCAUGAGCUUCAUCUGCAAAAAACCAUUUUCACUUCUUGGGACAAGGGAUCAAAAAAAUACAAACCUGUUGUUGGAUUACAUUCAUAAUUUAUAUCAAGCACUAGAUGCUGCUCGAAGGAAGUCCUUCAAGGAAAAAAAUCAGGAACAAAAAUGCUGAGAGGUCCAUCUUGGAGGUCAGAAAGCUGGAGUUCUACUAGAAGAAGAUACCUCUGGAGAGAGAAAUAAAGGAAGCCUGAACUGCUUAGAGUUUUCUUACCGAAGCUUCAAGUUAAGAUCAUUUUCAUUUCAAUUUGGAUGUAGAAAUAAUGAUGGGAUGUGAAAAUUAUAUUUUCAUUUCAGAGAGCUGGUUGAUUAUAUUUUGAAAAAGGGUAUAUAUGAAAGUUAAAUCCUCUGUUCAAAUGAACAAAGGGAUCAACUUGAGCAAGAGUCAACAAGCUAUCCUUCGAGGUCAAUGGAACAUACCACUCAUAUUAAUCUUCUACUAUUUAGGGGAAUUCAUACAUCCACUCAUCUUAAGCUGGAAAACUUAUGGAAAGCAUUCGCAAUUGUUUCCAAUGUAUCGACUGUAAUCAAUCAAUAGAUCAUCAACUAUUGUCCUCAUUGAAAGUUUCCUGCUCCCUAUAUAGAGAAUGUCUGAUUAAUUUCAUUAAAUAUGCAUGAUUCCACUGUAUGUUAGCUAACCAAAAGAGCCUACAGGCCAAAUAAACAACAGGAAUAAGAGAAACUACUUCCAACGCCAUCAUUUCUCCUUUCUAGUAUCAUCUUUUGUUUAAUGUUUAAUGCUCGUAGCCUCUGAGCACUCCAAACUAAUUUUUAAAAUAAAAUAUCAAGAGAUGGCAGAAAAUGAAUGUGCUCAUCAACUAUUUUCCUCAUUGAAAGUAUACUGUGGUAUUUUAAAUUGCUCCAGUUUUUAAAAAAUAGAAGGCCACAGGCCAAAGAAACAACAGGGAUAAGAGAAACCGUUUUUUAUUUGAGAAAAUACGAUACUGCAAACUAUUUCUUAUGAAUAAAUCCCGUAUUACAAGAAGCCAAGAAUUGGUUGGUUGCUCAGCACAACAUAACUCAACAUAACUGAUACAAACAAUUACUGAUACAAGCACAAGGACAAACACAAGUCACAUCAAAAUAGAAAGGCUAAGCAACAAGAACACUUCUCACAGGCAAAUUGCUAAACAUGCAGUGAGCAACCAUUGAUUUGGAAUGCGACUGCUUCUCCACAGAGGAUUGCAACAAAUUCAGAAAGCAGCCCACACGCUCCUGAUAAGAUCCAAUCACCUUCUGAAUCUGGACAACUUGGGAAAGUUAAUUGCCAAAAAGCAGCAGCAAGUGUCAAUGCAUUCUUCAAUGAAGUAAAACCACCUGCGACGCCAAUGCGGAUUUAUGCACAGUACUGCUGCAAUUGUCAACACCACAGUUAUGUAAAACACACCAAAGCUGGCAUAGAAACUGUCCAUGUCUAUGAAGCCACCAUCUCCAUUGAAAUCAUUAGGCACUCUCGCGGAUGGUGAUUCUGUUUUGUCGCAACUAUUUUGCAAUGGAGGUCCACAAAGAAGAGGAUUCCCUUUAUAACUGCUUUCAUCAAAGGUACCAAAUUGAUUUUUCAUCUCCGGUGUUCUUCCUGACAAAUUAUUGUACGACACGUUAAAAACUGCUAGAAAGGUCAGUUCAACGAGUUGUGCAGGAAUUCUCCCAUUCAAAUUGUUGUGAGAAAGAUCCAAGCUCUCUAGCUGCUUCAGAUUGAAGAAGGAUGAAGGGAUCAAUCCAGUGAGAUUAUUUUGUGACAGAUUUAGAGAAUGUAUCCCACUUAAGUUUCCCCAUUCUAUCGGGAUUUCUCCAGUGAAUCUGUUACAAGAAAGAUCCAAAGCAGACAUGUAACGAAGGAUUUCGCCUUCAUAAGUGUAGAAGUUUUUCUUUGUUGUAAGCUCUACAGUUAUUUUUACACUGAUCUCUGGCCACAAAAUUUUAUCAUGAAGAUAACCUUCGUUCUCCAAUUCUCUCCCCCAUGUGGAUGCAAAUAUUUCUUCAUCUAGUGAGUACUUCACACUAGUGUCAAGCACAGUUAUUUCUUCAUCUUGUGACUCCAUACUAGUGUCAACCAAAGUUUCUUCAUCUAAUGCCAUAAAAUUUAAAUUGCUCAAACAUGAGGGUAACGGACCAGAAAAGUUAUUUUCUGAAAGAUCCAAUAUGUUUAAUUUCCUUAACAAGCAUAACUGAUGAGGUAGUUUCCCAUUGAAUUGAUUAGAUUUGAGAACAAAAAUGCUCAAUUCCGAAAGGCUAUAAAUCCAAUUUGGAAUGGGCCCAGUUAAGUUGUUAUCGCCGAGAUCUAAUGUCACCAACGAAGAGAGAUUACAAAAAGCAUAUGGCAGUGGACCGCUCAAUUGAUUUCUAUAAAGGUGGACAUAGUGUAAAUCUGAUGCAAGGAAGCCCAACGACAAAGACAAAGACCCAGACAGAUUGUUUUCAGAAAGAUCUAAAAAUUCAAGCCCAGAAGAAUUGAAAUAUUCUAUUGGAAUGGUACCUUCAAAAUGAUUUCUGGACAAAUCAAUUCCAUCAAGUUCGUUUAGUGAAGAGUUCCCAAUUCCCCUUGGAAGCAUGCCUGACAAAAGAUUGUUACUGAUAACAAACCACGAAAAUGAUGAUGCAAGAGAAAAGGUAUCAGAUACUUGUCCUGCAAAUUUGUUUCCAUCUAGAAAGAGGUAAAGUAGAUCAGUCAUGUUGAACACAGAUGGUGGUAAUCGCCCAUUGAAGUUGUUGUUGGACAACUUCAAAAACCACAACGAGGAGCCUACUGUUGGCAAAUUAUGCUCAAGCAGUUCACAAGACAUAUGAUUGUUGGAAAGAUCCAAGUAUCCGAGAGAGCUCAUAUUCCCAAAACAAGGAGGAAUGCAACCUGUGAGGCUAUUGUUAGCCAUCAAGAAGUUCUUUAACCGUGGAAAAAUUGAACAUAUGUUCCUUGCAAUUUGACCAUGUAUGGUGUUGCCAGACAUAUCUAUUGUAUGAAGAUUGGGUGUUGGAUGUUGUGGCAGCUGCAAAGGACCUAUAAAUGAGGUGUCUCUCAAAUAUAGUCGAUUUAACUUUGUAUUAUUCUCAAACAGCCAAGACGGGAAAGGUUCUCCAAUGAAUUUGUUGUGGGAUAGAUCAACAAACACCAAAUCAUGUUGGCUAUGCAGGAAGUUUGGAAAUCUAGCUUUGAGUGGUUUUGAAGUACAGUUUGCAGCACUGAAGUAAAGAAGCUGUAACUUGGGAGCUGAAGGCUGAAAACUGGGUGCAGCUAUUAGCUCAUUGUUAUCGCAUACAAUGAACUUGAGGUUGGAGAGGUUCAUAAAUGAACCAAAUGAUAUUGGAACUUGAAAGUAGUUAUUUGAAACUUUGAGGUAUCUGAGCUGCGUAAGAUGGGAAAGGUGACUAGAGGCAAUAUUCCCCUUCAAUUGGUUGUCAGAUAAAUCCAAGAUUUGUAGAGAUGAUAGAUUUCCCAAACAAUGAGGGAGUGAGCCCUUUAGAUUGUUUCCUGAGAUAAGUAGUUGUUCAAGAUUCUUCAGAUUCUUCAGUUCACACCAGCCUGUAGAAUAUAUUAAUAUAUUCAUGUUAAGGGAAUAAUAAUAUAUCAAUUAUGCAAGUGCUUAGUGAGGUUUUAAAGUUUUAGUUGAUUUUUGUUUCAAUAGCUAGGUCAGUUCUAGAUUAUAUUUAAACAACUUUGUUUGUUAGUUUUUUUAGAGAUUAAUUAUCUAGAUUAUUGAUAUUCAAAAUUUUUUUAAUUCAAAUUUUUUUCUAUAAUUUAAGACUGGGAAGUUUUAGAGAUUAAGAAACUCUAGAUUUUUGGUCAAGAAGGAUAGAGUGGAAGUAUCCAUUUUGUGUAUUGUAAUAUAAUCAUCUGUUAAAUAGAAGGAAAACAGAGAAAUAAAUGAGAGGAGAAUGAUUUUGUUAUUUCUUGUGUGCGUAAUCCUCCUACCAUUAUAUAUAUACUUCCCCACAUGCAUUACACGAUUUAUUAUAUUGUUAACUAACUCUACCCGACUCUUAACAACUUCUAACACGUGUCCAUGCAUCUGCUAGUUACCCUAAAUUUAAGACUGAGAAAUUUUAGAUUGAGAAACUCUAGAUUUUAUCCUUUUCUAUAUGUAACAUUAGGAGUAAACUUCUAACAUAUCACCUCCAUUCCUUUAAUAAAAUUUUAAAAAUUGAACAAAAGUUAAUGGUUAAUACACAUCUAUUUAUUAGACAAGUUCACUAAAAAAUAAAUUAAGCCUCACUAAGGAAUGCCAUUCAAGAUAGGAAUGAUUUACAACUUUAUCAUUAAUACUAGUUGAUCCUGUCAACAUGUUUUUGAUAAAUAUAGAGAUUUGAGAGUUGAAAACCCACUUAAAGAUGAUAAAACACUGUCAUUAAAUUUACUGUAACUCAGAUCAAGUUCUUUCAAAUUCCUCAACCCUCAAGCUAAUACUUGAAAACAUGAAAGAAAAUUAUGGGAAACAAAGAAAUUAACAGAUAUAUACAGAUUUAUAUAUCAAUCAUCCCAAUAUCCAUAAAGAUUCAAUGUAAAGUUACUUGAAAUAUAAUUAACUUUAUGUGUUAACUAAAAGAAAAUUGAAAGCAUAGAACCUUGGUUCUUGAAGCCACCAACUAAUUGGUUGAAGCUUAAGUCGAGAAUCUCCAGUUCUUUGAAAGGCAGAAACAAAGACGCAUUGAGAUACAAGUACUCUUCGACUGCAUUGAGACCCAAGUCCUCAUAAUUUACACCUGAAAGAUGUAGUUCGAUCACUCGGUUUGUGGUGUUGUCACACACAACCCUAUGCGGAUCCCAGUCACAGCAAUUAAAAUACUCUUUAUCCCAACCUUCUAGCUGAUCAUAGGACCCAGCUGCACGUGCAUGAUUGAACCAAGCUUUUAUCUCUAAGAGACUAACUCUCUCUUCCUCCACACAACAAUGGCUCCGGUCGUUGACGAAGGACAGUGCCAUGAGGAGCAUCCACACCCACAUUUCCCUCAUCUUCAUAACGCUCCACUUGACCACAUACAAAAGCAAGCAAGCAAGCUGUCUCUUAUAUACAAUUUAAUUUGUCCUCUUCAUGCGUUUGAUCAUAGGAUUUUCCCGUGAUAAACUUUUAGACUUUGGUGGUCUCCUCACGAUCUUUUUUCAGAGAAAUCUGCUUCUCAUUUGUAGUUUGCCAUCUUCCUACUGUCGCACUAGCUUUAAUGAUAUGUCCACUUGAUUAUUAUAAAAGAAAAAUAAAAAUACUCCACGUCCACUAUUGUCAGCUUUCGAGAACGCAUGCAGGACCCAGUUUAAUCUCAAUAUGGAUUUUUAUAAGCAAAUCUUAGAGAAACAGUUUCCUGCAUAAUUACUAGAAUUUUUUGGUUUGAUUUAAUUUGAUAUUAAUGAUUUUUCACCUUUUGUCUGAGAUCAAGUACCUAAUGAAACCUUGAAUGGAGCACCCAUUUGUACGCAUAUGCUUGACUUGAGGUCUGCCAUUUUGAUUUUAAAAUACCAUCAAGCAGUAAUUUCUUGGCGGUUUCCUUAUAGAAACUGGUGGUCUCCUCACGACCUUUUAAUUUAAAAAAAAACUCUUGUCGGAGCAUGAUUUAAAAGCUAGGAUUCAACCAGUAUCAGGGAAUGACUGUCAUCUUUUAAAGAAAUUUGAUCACCCACUUUCACUUGUUUUUCGUUGUGGACCUCCGUUGCGAAGUUGCAGUGAAACAAACUCGCAAUUGCAGCAGGUGCCUAAUAAUGAACAAGAAGAUAAUGGUUUCAUAGAUAAUAUUGGGGGAGCAAAUGAGCAAUUAUAAUAUUGGGGGGGAGCAAUUAUAUUGGGGGAGGGCCGGACCAAUUAUAUUGGGGGCCUUUAAAUUGAAAUCGUAAAAUCGGUCCUAAUAUCGUGAUUUUGCGCGAUAUCAUCCGUUUUUUGCGAUUUUACCUGAUUUCAACCUGAUUUUAUCCAUUUUCGAUUUUUUUAACCGAUUCAACUCGUAAUGCAUGUUUUGACUCGUAAAAUCGUACGAUUUUACGAGUCACGCGAUUUUGACAACCUUGGUGACGAUGGUGGAACUGAUGCGGUUGCAUAGCAGCACCAACCAGUACUUUAAUUUCCUAAUGAUUUCCUUGCGGAAGAAAUUAUGGCAUGUUGGAAAACGAUGCCACCCUAACAAUCCAAGAGCUCAAAUUCAACUUGAAUAAAAGCAUGAUAAAUGGAUAAUUUAGAGGAGAAAGGAUCCAAGAACAUCAUGAAACAGGGGAUUGUUAUAUUUUGUUACCCUAACAAUCCAAGAGCUCAAAUUCAACUUGAAUAAAAGCAUGAUAAUUUAGUGGAGAAAGGACCAAGAACAUCAUGAAACAGGGGAUUGUUCUAUUUUGUUAUGUAACAAUCUCAACAGCUAAUUAAGAGGUUAGAUUGUAGGGUCUAAUUUCAAAUGCAAGACUCUAUUGAUUCUCAUCAUUAUAGUAAUAAAACCAUGUGCAUUUUUAUUAAAUUAAGAGGAAACACAAAAUUAAACAAGAAAAUCUUCAGAGUUCAGAAAUAAAUCUAACAUUGCCGAACAGACUGUGAGCAAACCCAGAUUUGGUGGAAGAUAGAAAUAUGAAGAGAGAGCAGAAAUCUUAGAUAAUUCUAUGAAGAGAGAGCAGAAAUCUUAGAUAACAGUUUGUAGAAUAUUGUUGUUUGUUAUGUGAGUUUGGGCAACCAUAGGUCCUAUUUAUAACACGCUUUGUCCAUUUCCAUGACUUUUAUCUGCGUACCUGGUGCCGAUUCUAUGUUUUGAGAUGUUUUCUUUAUUUCAUUUCUUUUUUUAAUAGUUUUGGAUUCGAAUAUUAUUUCAUUUAUUUGUUUAGCCUUAGGUGUAUUUGGGAAUGUGUUUUUCGUUGUUUUUCAAAGUAGUUUUCACUUGGAAAUGUAUCAACAUGAUAUUGUUUGGCCUUAGGGUAUGUUUAGUAGUGUGGUUAGAUGUCUUAAUACGAACCUUGAAAACAUGGUCAAAACAAUAUUUUAUAAAAAUUUGAUUUUUUAUUAAAAUUAUUUUUUAUAUAUUUUUAGUUAGUUAUAAUGUAUUAAUAUCAAAAAUAAAUUUUAGAAAAUAAAAAAUAUAUUAUUUUGAUAUAUAUUCGAGCAAAAAUAUAUUUUAAAAAACAACCCUUAUUACAAUAAUGGUGAUUUCCUUAUGCAUACUAGCGGUCUUCAUUAAUAUUUCAAAAAAUCAUCAUUAAACCUGGUUUGGGGUUGACUAGGAAUAAGGCUGGGGUCAUGAUUUUUUUUAUUAGGUCACUAGAUUAACUUAGAUCAACUCCAAUAUAUAUAUAUAUAUAUAUAUUCAAGUCAAGCUAAGCAUUAACCGAGUCACUUAGAUUUUUCCCUUUUUCAAUUUUUUUAAACUUGUCCCGGUUUUGAUCCUCAAUCAAAUGGGUUUCAUCUUGAUUUAUCUAUAUGUUAAAUUACUUGAUUAACUAAAUUAAUUCUGUAAUAUUGAAUUAUUUGAUGAAAACAUUAUCUAAAACAUGAUUAAUCUUACUUUUAAUAUUAAAAAUUAUGUUUCAACAUAAACUCUUUAAUGUAAAAAUUUAACAUAAUUAAAAUAAAUAGUGAUUACCGUUUCAGCAAUUGAUUUGAUCUUGGCCUUACAAUUAUUUUCAUUAGUCUGUUAAUGUUUUUCUUCAAGCUUAUGGAAAGGGAGGUUUCUCCAACUUGUUGUGUAAGCUCCUUUGCUUUUUGUUUUUCAUAGACUUGGGAAGUCAUUUGUCUCUUAUAACACAAUAAUUGAUGUGUGAAACAACAUCGUUUUAUAUGGAAAAAAAAUAAAGAGUUAACCGAGUAUUUAUUCAAGUCAUGCCAAUCAUUAACCGAGUCAUUUGGAUUUUUUUUCCUUUUUUAUUUUGUAAACUCGACCUUGUUUUGGGCUCCGUUUGUUUGCAGGAAAGUGGUUUCCUUUUGGAAAGUGAAUUCCGGGGAAAGUGAAUUUCUGAAAAGUGAAUUCCGGGAAAGUAUUUUCCGAUGUUUGGUAGUGUUAUGGAAAAUGAACUGGAAAAUAAUUUAUUAAUGAAUUAAAUUUUUUUUCAAGUUUAUCUAAUAUAUAUAAAAUAUUUAAUCACUUACAAUUGUCAUAACCCAAUUUUUGACCCUUUUUUAUUUUUAUUAUUUUAAAAAAAAAGAUGAUGAAAAAUAAAAAUAAAAUAAAUGAAGAAUGAAUUAAAAUUUGGGUUAAGGGCAACAUGAUUGGAAGUUUAAAGAUUUAAUUAAACUCUUGACUAGUUUAAUUAAUUAAAUCAAGGUUUUAAUUGGAGAAUUGAUUUAAUUAAAAUUUAGAUUAUUUUAAUUAAUGAAAUCAAGAGUUUAAUUGAAGAAUUAAUGAGUUUGAGGACUUAAUUAUACUUUGAUUUAAUCAAAAAUCCAGGACUGUUGUGUAAAUGGCGCUAUAACUCAAGGAUUCAAUUGAAUUUAAUCCAAGGGCACAAUUAGAAAUCAAUUAUUUCUGAUUAGGGUCCCAAUUGUUAAGUUUACACUGUCUAGGGACUAAAUUGAAAAACAGCCAUGCCCAAGGACACAACGGCGCCGUUUUGGAAGCAUUGUUCAUCGUCUCCUACGCUUGCGCGGAUGAAGCCUUGUUCAACAGGGAAAUCUGCUGCAACAAAUCCGGUCAUGGACCAUAUCUCUUGCCCACGAUCUCGUUCGUGGAUUCCAUAACAGUCCUGCAAAUGUAGGACUGGUUGAGGGGAAGCUUCUCUAUAAAAGGGGGGACGCAAGCACACCAGGAAAAAAAACCCAUCAUAAACAGAAGAAAAACUCGGGGAAGAGGCCAGCAACCAAAAACCAGGAACGAGUGACCGAAGACCAGAACGAAACAGAGGCAGAAGACGCAAGAGGAGGAAGAACAACAGGUGACGAACAGAGAGGAGAGGAAUUAAAGGGAGCCGAAAAUCAAAGAAAAAACCCAGAAUAACAGAGAAGCAAACGAAACAGAACCAGAAGAGUAGAGGAAAAGCAGAAACAUAAAGCCUGCCAAUCAUCGUCUUCACCACAGCACCUGAACCAGCAAAACAGAGGAAGAAGGGCAGGGGAAACAGGCCAAGAACCAUAAAAAAUGGAGGACGAACAGUGACAAUAAAAAAAAGAACCACCCGAGAGAACCGGCUUCGUCUUCAUCUUCAGGAGCAGCAGACCACAUGUAAUCUUCCCUUUGCAUUUUAAUUCACUGCUACAAUAGCAGUGAAUUAUAAUUCACUUGCUACUGUAGCAAGUAAAUAAUAAUUCAUUGGCCCAGCUGUAUUCUCAUUGAACAGCUGAGGGUAUGUAGAAAAAAGGAAAGUGUUUUUUUUUCUUUACAUAAGAAAAACAUUUCCCUUUAGCAACGUUAUUAUUUUUAGGUUGACUGGAAUUCAUUUUUCUUUGAUUAUUUUCCCUUUCUUGUCAUCAAACAUAGAAAAAGCAGGAAAGUAAAUUCCAAGAAUUCACUUUACUGCAAUCAAACACGGCCUUGAUCCUCAAUCAAACGGGUCUCAUCUCGAUUUUAUAAAAACUAUCCAAUGAUGUUGAUUCGAGGAUGUUCACAAGCUUUUCGCUGUUGGAAGUUUGCAAGCGAAUCUCGUUUUUACCAUCCAAAAAAACUUCUUUUGUACAUCUUCUCACAUGUCAAGGCACAUUUUGAUUAGGGAGACCGUAUAACUUUAUUUCGUUCAAUUUAUGCUGUUUGACAUAUAAAUAUUGUUCAAUGUAAAUCAACUUUUCAUUGUUUUCAAAAAAAUUUCACCUAGUUUAAAUCGAAACAAAUGCUUGCCAGUAGUUAAUAUUAAUUGAGAUAUGUGUUUGGGAGUGUGAAGUGAAGUGAUUAUAUUUUAUUUAAAAAUAAAAAUAAAAUUUUUUUGACACGCAACCGCCGCGAUUAAGUAAAAAAAAAAAAUAGCGCGAAAAGUGCCAAAGGCCCAAAUGUACGCCAAUUUGCAAUGGCAAGUCCCGUAAUUAUUUCAAAAUCAAAUGUGAAAAAUUGAAAGUCACAAGAAGGCAUGAAAAUAUCCUCUUAUUUGAACUUUUAUCUCGUUUAUAUCCUUUUACUCUUUUCUUCAUGUAUAGACAUGGAAAGUCAUGUUCUGAUUUGUUCCUGUGGAAUCAAAAAAUUUCUUCCUCAAUUUUUUUUAUGGAAUGAAGUGAUUUCCCGGUAGCUUCACCAUCCACUUGCAAUUUAUAUAUAUAUAUAUAUAUAUAUAUAUAUAUAUAACUGCCAAAGAAAAAAAUGCAUUGAUUAAAAUAUUGAUGUGUUUGAAUGAAGAAAGUCAGGGCAGAGAUGACCAACAAAAACCACCGUGUGGGCCAAUAAAAUGAAAAUAAAAGACAAUAUCAAUGGCUUGCAAUAAAACAGUGUUUGUUUUAUGUUAAAUUACUUGAUUAACUAAACUUAAUCUUGUAAUAUUGAAUUAUUUGAUGAAAACAUUAUCUAAAACAUGAUCAAUUGAUAUAUCUAAAGUCAAAUAAAAAGUUUAUACUAUACUUUGCCAUUUUCAUGAUUUUAUCUGCAUAUAUUGUUCAGUUUCCAUGAUUUUAUCUGGGAGGAGUCAAUUUAAGUUAUUUGCAUGCCACUUUCUCAGCAAUUGUUGUCCUAUUUUGUGCUAAAUGUCGGGUGUAUAUUAAAUUAGUCAAAAGUUGCAUAACCCGCUUUCUCCAUUACUGUUCUGUAACAAUAUUUUGAUAGCCCUUUAGCAUUAAUACUAUUUAAUUUGUCCUCUUCAUGCGUUUGAUCGGACAGUGACAAUUAUCUGUAUCAUUGAAUUUUCUAUGCUGAAUUAAUUAUCCAAGGGAGACUUGGGCUUCAUUGAAUGGGAGAAUCUUCACGGACAGUGCUAGCCAGGGGACCGCACCACGGCACAGAUCACUCGGUUUGUGGUGUUGGAUUAGGGUGUUUGGGAGUGUGGUAGCGGUUGCUUUUCAAAUAGCUUUUCGUGCCGAAAAGCAUGCCAAUAAUGUUUUUUUAUUUUUUAAAAAUCAUUUUUGACAUCAGCACAUCAAAACGAUCCAAAAAGUACAAACCGCACUCAAUUUUAACAAAAAUAAAUAAAUAAAAAAUUUUUGAAUUUUUUCAAAAAACCGGUUUGGCCGCAUUGCCAAACAAACCGGUUUGUGGUGUUGGAUUAAAGGAUAUUCCAACUUCUUGUUUACUGCUUUACUUUUCUUCAUAGACUUGGGAAGUCAAGAUUCCUAUAAUCCACAUCAUCAAAAUAAAUUUUAAUUAUUUGAGCGAUUCAUUUGAUAUUAACCCCACAAUUAUUUUAAUUAGUCUGUUAAUGUUUUUCUUCAAGCUUGUGGAGCCGCAUGUUCACCAACUAUUUUGUUUUUUUUUUCUUUGUAUAUUUAAAAAGUCAUUUAAUUUAAGUUUUUAUGGUAAUUUAUUUUUGUGUUUUAAAAGUAUUUUUAAAUAAAUUUAAUUUUUUUUAUUUUUUAUUAACUUCAAAUUAAUAUAGUUUUAGUAUUUUUAAAUUAUUUUGAUGUGCUGAUAUUAAAAAUAAUUUUUAAAAAAUAAAAAAAUAUUAUUAAUAUAUAUUUUAAUAUAAAAAAUUAUUUAAAAAACAACCACAAUUAGAUGUUGUAGUGCUUGUUUUUAUUCUUCGUAGACCUAUGAAGUCAAAAUUCCCAAUUAUCCACUGCAUCAAUCUCUAUCCCAUUAAAAUGAAUUUGGUGCAAGAAAAUGAAUUUUAAUAUUAUUAAUAUAUAUUUUUUAAAAAAUAUAGCGUAUAAAAAAGGAAAUCCUGUAUCAUAUCUUUCACAAAUCUUAAAUAAUUAAUGAGAAAGCAGAACAAGGAUAAAACAACAUUGUUUUUUAUAUAUAAAAAAUAAAUAAUUAAUAGAUUGCAAUUAGGUAUUUAUUCAAGUCAGGCCAACUAUUAACCGAGUCACUUGGAUUUCUCAUUAUGCAUAUUUAAGAUUGCUAAAAAAAAAAAAUUAGUUUAAUUUCACAUAUAAGCUAAUUCGAUAACACUUUUUAAUAUAAAACCAAAAAAAAUGAGUGCUAUCGUCAUCAACUUUAUUUGGUUUAAAUUUAUGACGUUUGACAUAUAAAUUCUAUUCAAUUUAAAUCAACUUUUCAAUAAAUAGUUAAUGUUAAUGAGCACAGUAGCGAGAACUAAGCAGUGUUAUGUGUAUUUGGGACUGUGAAUACUGUACACUUUGGCUCUCUUCAUAGAGUCAAUUGACUUUCACACGUAGGGCAUGUUUGUUUCCCGAAAAACAGUUUUCGGGAAACCAUUUUCCAAACUUUCCUGUGUUUGUUUGUUAUUAGGAAAGUUGGUCAACGGAAAAUACAUUUCGGUCAACGGAAAACACUUUAUAGUCAACGGAAAACACUUUCCAGUCAAAGAAAAAUUUGACUUGGUUUUCAGGAAAGUGUUUUCCCUUUAGCUGUGUUUGUUUUCCGGAAAGUGGUUUCCGGAAAAUCACUUUCCAAUCCGGUCAACGGAAAACACUUUCCAGUCAAAGAAAAAUUUGACUUGGUUUUCAGGAAAGUGUUUUCCCUUUAGUUGUGUUUGUUUUUCGGAAAGUGAUUUCCGGGAAAUCACUUUCCAAACUUUCUUUUGUUUGUUUGCUAGUAGGAAAGUUGUUCAAUGGAAAACACUUUCCAGUAAAAUGAAAGUUUGGCUUGGUUUUCAGGAAAGUUUUUUCCUGAAAAAUUUGAGGGGAAAACACUUUCCGGAAGUUGUGAAAAAUUUAGAAAUAUCAUUAUUUGUUGAUUAUAUCAAAUUUGAUCCUCAAACUUUUGAUUGCUAUAUAUAUAUAUAUAUAUAUAUAUAUUGAGUAUUUAUUUUUCAAUUUCAUCUCUUAAAAUUUUAUUUUUAUAUUAACUUUGGUCUUUAUUUUUAUAUUUGCUUUUUGCUUUUUCCUUAUCAUUUUUUUAUUGAAAUUUUGUAUCUAUCAAAUUUGGUCUUCAUUCUUUUGAUUGUUACUUAUUUUAUUUGAAACAAUUUAUAAAAUGUUGAUUAUUAUUAUUUUAAUUUCUUCAUCUUUUUUUUAAUUUUUUAGAUUUGAUCUCUAUUAUUUUGAUUAUUAUUUAUUUUAUUUGAGAUAAUUUAUGAAAUUAUUUUUUUUUUUCAAUUUCAUUCUCAUUCAACUUUUUAAUUUAUAAGAUUUGUUUCUCAUUAUUUUAAUACACUUGAGAAAAAUAAAAUAUUAAUAAGUUAUUUUCCAGCUCAUUUUCCAUGACAUAACCAAACACUGGAAAGUGUUUUCCAACUCAUUUUCCAUUACACUACCAAACAUCGGAAAAUACUUUCUCGGAAUUCACUUUCCUCAGAAUUCACUUUCCAAAAGGAAACUACUUUCCAGCAAACAAACGGAGCCGUAGUAAAAAUGAAAAACAAAUUACUCCGUGGAUUGGUGAUUAAACUACAAUACUAAAUAUACCCCCUGAUCUGUGGAUUUGUGAUUAAACUUGGAAAAAAACAACAAUACUCUAAAAAGCCAUAUGUGAAUUUGUGAUGAAGAAAAUUCAUUAUUUUUAUUUUUUUUUGACAUAUUAGGUUCCACUAGAUGCACCAAGUCAAUGUGAGUGGUUGUCUUUUUUCUUAUUUAUGAGAAUCCAAUAGAGGCAUCAAGUCUAGGGCUCCACAAUGUCUGCCACUAGUCAAUUUCCUCCAACUUGUUGUGUAAAUUACUUUGUUUUCUCUUCAUAUAUAGACAUGGAAAGUCACGUGAUCUAAUGGAAUACAAAAAUUUCUUCCUCAACUCUUUUCAUGGAAUGAAGUGAUUUCCCGGUAGCUUCAUCAUCCACUUGCACUUUUUUUUCUCCGUAGACUUGUGAAGUCGGUCAAGAUUCCCAAUAUAUUAUCAACAUCAUCAAUUUAAAAAAGAAAUAUAUGUUAGGCUGAUUUACUUUCAUAUUAAUUAUUGUUUGAAUAUUCUUCAUCUGAAUGAUAUUAGUCCAUUCAAAACAAAUUCAUUUUCUUUUUUAUAAAUAUAUUUAUAUAACUACCAAAGAAGAAAAUGCAUUGAUUAAAAUAUUAUUGAUGUGUUUGAAUGAAGAAAGUUAGGGCAGCGAUGACCAACAUAAACACCGUGUGAGCCAAUAAAAUUGAAAACAAAAGACAAUAUCAAUGGAUUGCAAAAAAAAAAAAGUUUUAUGUUAAAUUUAUCUAUAUGUUAAAUUACUUGAUUAACUAAACUUAAUCAUUUAAUAUUGAAUUACUUGAUGAAAACAUUACCUAAAAUAUAAUUAAUUGACAUAUUUAAAGUCAAAUAAAAAACAAACCCCGCUUAUUUUUAAUAUUAAAUAUUAUUUUUUAAUAUAAAUUCUUCAACAUGAAAAAUUAACAAAAUUUAAAUAAAUUGUGAUUACUGUUUGAGCGAUUGAUUUGAUCUUGGACCCAUAAUUAUUUUCGUUAGUCUGUUAAUGUUUUUCUUCAAGCUUGUGAAAUUGUUACCCAUGUAAAUGCUAUGUUUCUCUUUAGAUUUUUUCCUACCCUUGAAACUGUUAUGAACAUAAGUAAAAGAGAUGAAAACUCCUUUACCCACGUAUCGAGUGUCGCACGUGUACGACAGCGCGACGAAUCGUCCACCCUCAAAUGAAAAAAAAUCGGAAUAUUUAUUCCUGGAAAAUAGUCAGAGACAAGGAAUUCUUGUCUCUACAAGUAAAAAUAUGGACUGGGAGACUGGUUACUAGGAACUUUAACUGGUCUUUAGAGAUCGGGUACGGAGACUGGUUACGUAAAAGAAAGGUAUAAGCACCCCAAUUACACCCUACCUAAGGUAGGCUGCAUUGUUUUAAUGUCUGAUAACAUCUAAGGUCGUGUUUGUGGAUUUUAAUAUUAUUGUUCGGAAUACGCAUUACAUGUAAUGUCAUAUCCCAAGUUCUAUUAAAAAAAAAUUAAAUAUCCGGAAUAUGUAUUGUGUAUAAUGUAUAAUGUCAUACCCCGGAUAUUAAAAGAUAAACAAAAUAAAAUUUUUGUUGUUUUUUUGAAAUUUUGGCCAAUAUUCUCUUGACUUUAAUAAACUGGUUAUUAAAGCCAAAAUGCAUGCUAAAACAUUGUUUUUCUCUUUUUUUUAAUUUGUUUUUGUAUUCUUGAAAGUCGAAAACCGGGUAUUUCAGUACCAGAUUUGUAUUUUACGACAUAAAAAUAUUGCCCGAUAUUAAUCAAAAUGACAUAAAAACUACGCGGAAAAAUUAUAAAAUGCUGAAACAAAUAUUUUUGAUUUUUUUUUGAAUGGGCCGGGUGAACAGUAUCGUGUGAACAGUAAUGAAUACGGGGUAUUUUAAUACCAGAUUUAUAUUUUUACGAUGUAAAAUACAGACGAUAUUAAGCAAAAUGAUAGAAGAAAACGUGCUUUUUUAAAAAUAUGUAUAUAUAUAUAUAUAUAUAUAUAACUUAUAACAAAAAAAUAAAAAUAAAUAAAUAAAUAACUGGCCGGACCCGACCCAAAUGCAUGGGCCGGGCCGACCAAGCCUAUUUACAUGGGCUGGGCCAAAGGCCCAAACGGGCUGGUUACUGUGCAUCAGCACAGUAACCAGCCCUUCCUUAUUUGCAGAACGUGAAAUAAUUCACGUUCUGCAUGAAGGCACAGCGGAUAACAAAGGGAGGCAGAGGCGGGGCAACAGGAUGGCGUACCUGCGGUGGCGUCGAGGCGGUGCGGCUGGCGGCGGAGGCACGGUGGCCGGCGGAGGCACGGUAGCCGGCGGUUUUCCUUCUCUCUCUCUCCUCUGUUUUUGUUCUCUUCUCUGCCGAUUCUCUUUCUUCUUCUUUUUUCUUUUUCUUUCUGUUUCUCUCGUCUCUCUCUACCCUCUUUCUGUCGUGCAAUCCUUCUCCUUCUCCCCCUCUUUUUUUUUCUUCUCUGCUUCGGUCCCCUUCCACUGUUUUUAUAGGAAAAAAUAGGGGGGCCGAAUGGUGGGGCGGCUUGGCCGCCCCUCCACUAUCCGUUCAAAAGGAGGCAAGUGGGGGUCGAAUGGUAGGCGUCUUAUUGCGCCAAAUCCGGGAAAGAAGUUCGGCGAAAAGUGGAGAAGAAAAAAACUCUUCUCCCUUGUUCUCUGCGUGCGCAGGGAAGAAGACGAUGGUGUCGUUUCAAAACAGCACCGUUUUACGUUUUCUCUCUCUUUUUUUUUUAAAAUAAACAGUGCAUGAAACGACGUCGUUUUGGUCAAAACACGCCGUUUCAUUUAAAAGGAAAAGGCGGUAAAACACGUCAGAUUCAAAUUUAGUCCAUCAAUUUGCGCGCGUUUUACGAUUUCGUCCUUGGUCUCGGAUUUCUGAAAUUAAGUCCUUAAUUGACCAUUAAACUUCAUUCUUUAUGCAAUUAAGCCCCUGAUUUGACCAAAUUAACUUUCAAAAAUUAUAAGUUGACACCAGAACUUUAAUUUCUUCCAAUUCAAGCCCAAAAUAACUCCAAAAUCAAUUGUUUUUGCAAUUAAAACCUCUAUAAAUUCAAUUAAACCUUCAAUAAAAUUUAAUUGAGUCCAUAAACUUCUAAUUUUGCAUUUUUCUUCCUCAAAUUGAAUUUUCUUUAUCAUCGAGGCUCUCAUCAGUCAAUGAUAUACUGUCAGAAAUGAAAUUUUAUUUGUUUGAACAUCCUCAAUCAAUUUUUGAGCAUUUUUAGGGCACUCUGACAUUUUUUUUUUACUGUUAUAUUUUUUGAUAAUAUAUUUUUUUGAAUUGUUUUGUAUUUUUUAGGUGAGGACUCAAAAAUGGGUUACAACAUCGAGCAUACCCUAGUUACAUAACACUAGUUAAAUCUUGACAUAACAGUUCAAGUUAAUUAAUGGCUAGGAUUUUGUUUAGUGGAUUUGUUUUUUGAAAUUAAAUAUCAUAUCAAUAAACAAAUAGCAACUAAAAAUGUAACUAAAAAUAGCAAUAUUUGUUUAAAUAUCAUAUCAAUAAACAAAUGUAACUAAAAAUGUAACUACUAAAAUAGAUAUUUUAUUUUGUUAAUUUUAUUUGAAAAAGCUUUUGAACAUAAGGACUCCAUAUUUUUUUUUUUAUGAUUACUAUAUUGGAUAGGCUUAAUGCCCCGGUAAUAACCAGGAUAGGAGGCCGACUUAAUUAGAGUUGAUAGGGCACAAAUAUAUAUAUAAUGUGCUCCGAUUAAUACAAAAUUAAUUAUAAUAAUAAUUAGGGUUUGUUCUUUUAUUCAGUUUCUUGUUAUCUAUUUUUGGGUUCUCUCACAAAAAAAAUUGCAAGAAAACAAAAAAUAUGAACAAUUGAUUUGAUCUUAUGAAAUACAUGGCAGAAGAGAUUAGAAAAUGAUUUCCAUUUGUCAGAAAUACACCCCAAUAGUCUUAAUUUGAAUUGCACUUUGCACUCCUUUUCCAGCGAUCAAUAGCUAGGAAACCUGUCAGUGAAAUCUUUAUUAUUUGCUCCGGGUUGCUGCUGCUGGUUACUCUGUCACGGAUUAUUAUUUUUCAGUAGUCAGUUAUCCUAGUGCUUGCUUGGACAUGCUCAACAAUGGAGUUCCUCUAAAUGUAAUUACCAAAGUGAAAUCUUCUGUCAAAGUCAUUUCAAGCCGGAAAAGAUCAGGAAAAAGAAGUCUUGAAACAUCAAGCGAAUAGAGCCCAGCAGGAAAAAUUCGUUUCUGACGGUGAGAUUUGUAAUGUGAUCCUAGAUACAAUCUCAUCUCGAUUAGACUCCAGUACUGGAGGAUGUGAUUGCUGAUAUAAAAAAUAAAUAAAUAAAAACACUUAUAUGUUAUUUCUCAGUUCAAAUCUGGUGAUGAGAUUCAUACAGAAGGACUCGUGGCACGGCUGAAGCAGAUCCAAGGUCAAUACUUGAGGAAAAUCUUGGAACCAUUCCAGCUACUAUUAUUUUUUCCAACUAUUAGAUCUUAACAUCAACAGUCAAUAUCGUUGAAAAAAUCAACAUUGAAGCCAUACAAAUUCACGUAAGGGACACACAAACCCCACAAGAAAGAAAGGAAAAGGGCCUCACAAGAAGUAAAUAAAAUCUCACAAUGAGUAAGAAAACCAAACAUAUUGUAGAAUAAAAGUAAGGCAUUGGAUUGAUCGUUCAUUAGCCGUUCAUGAUCAUGAAUCAAAUCAUUACAUAAAUCAUCACCCACGCAAGUAAAAUAAAAAUCAAGGCUUUGGAGAUUGCUUAACCUUUCCAACAGCGUUGCUGUUUCGAUCGGUAGGCUUGAUACUUUUAGUUUUAUCUAUGUUAACACUAUAGGUAAUUAAGAGUUUAUUUGGUAAUGUGGUUACGGUUAUUUUUUAAAUAAUUUUUUGUAUUAAAAUACAUGUCAAUGAUAUUUUGACAUCAGCACAUCAAAAUAAUUUGAAAACACGAAAAACAUAUUAAUUUAAAGUUAAUAAAAAAUUAAAAAAAUUCAAUGAUAUUUUGAUAUUAGCACAUCAAAAUGAUUUGAAAACACGAAAAACAUAUUAAUUUGAAGUUAAUAAAAAUUUAAAAAAAUUUAAAUUUUUAAAAAUAUUUUUAAAAUAUAAAAAGAAACAGGCUCAACCGCGGAAAGUCUUGCAAAACAAAGCAUGUAUAGGGAGGGUGGCAGACACGUAGCUUCGCUGUGAUUUCUUGACAUUAUAUUUUUUAUUGAUUUGUUUUUUUGUAUUUUAUUAUUUUUUAUGCGGACACCCAAAAAUGAGUUACAACAUUAUUUGAGAAUAGACAAAAAAAAAUUUUUAAUUCAGUUAUAGGAUGAUGAAUUCUCUCUUGGUCAUUCAAAUAUCUUCAUAUAGUUUACAUUAUACCUAAUAUUUACUUAUUUUUUACCAUUGAUUAGAAUAAUAUGUAAUCAGGAUCAAAACAUAACACUCCCUAAAUAAAAUAACUUGGUGAUCUCAAGUCCUUUAAUCUUUGGUGCUUCCCUGAAGGUAGAGUUUCAUCUAUGGCUUUUAAUCUUGAAUAAAUUGCCUAAAAAAAAAAAGACUAAAACUGUGAAUUAUAUUUUACUUUAUCAUAAGAUGGUUUAGAAGUUAUGAUAUCGGGUGACAAAAUAGUUGGGACAAUAGUUGAUCUUGCCUCAAUCUUUGGAUGACGUCUUCUUAUUAUGGAAUGGCAUGGUAUAGGGAUUUAUGACAAAAAAAAAGUGGUGUUUAUUCUUCUCUGGUAUAGUUUAGUCUAUUUAGAAUACCUGUAAUAAUAUAAUUUUUAAUGAGAAAGAAACAAAUUAGAAUGGGAUAUAUUAUUUCUUUUUUAAUUGGGCUGUUAUUUGAGCGAAAUAUAAAGAUUUAGAGCUUUUUCUAUACUAGGUUAGAUUUAAUUUGUUCAUCAAAUUAUUUUUUUAUAUGGACUAAAAAUAUAAAUAUGAGAAUUGAUUCUCCAAUAUUAACGCAUCUUCAAAUGACAAAACAGGGUCUUUAAGAAUUGGUGGUGUUUUUAGUGAUAAUGAAGGAAGAUUCCUUUGUAUUUUUUUCUUGUUCAACAGGUAAUAUAGAAUCUAUUGAAAUUGAGGUCUUGUUAAUUUGAAAAGCUAUGAUUGCUACUAUGUUAUUAAUUGAUGAGUUAGAUUCUUACGAUGUCGUUACACGUCAUAAUUAAAGCAUAAAAUGUCGUGCACGCCGAUGCUUGACUUGCGGUUUUCCAUUUUGAUUUUUAAAUACCAGAAAACAGUAAUUUCCUUAUAGAAACUGGUGGUCUCCUCACGACAUUUUUUUCAAAUAACUGUUGUCAGAAAAUGACUAUCCUCAUUAACAGUAAUUUAUUAAUUUUUUUUAAUAUACUUUGUUCAUGUGAGGUUGUGUUUUCAAAAUCUUCCAAGAAAAAAAGGGACUAAAUGAUGAACCAAAUUGAAUUUCACGCUCCUAAUUUAAUAAAUUAAAAUUUUCAAGCUCUAAAGUUAUAUCCUUAGCACCAUACUCUAUUAAGGAAAAGCUCUAAUAUUUUUAUCAAAAGUUUAUAAUUUAAUAAUCCAAUCUUAAAACAAUACUUUAAUUGUUGAUAUAAAAAUUUAAAACUGAUCUAAUCAAAAGAGUUCAAAACUAAAUGGAAAAAAUAAUUAAAAUAUAAAACUAACUAGAAAAGUAAUUAAAAUAACAAAAAUAAAAUCUUUUGAGCUUAAUUUGAAAAGAUUUGUGUGGUGGAUGUUCAAACAUAUAGUUUUGAAACCCGAUCCGGUGAUCGACCCGGUUUAAUGAUCGGGUCACGGGUCCAAUGGGUUGACCCGGGUUAAUCCAGGUCAACCUAAAAAAAAAAAAAAAAAACUAAUUAAAGGGCAUUUUAUGAAUCAGGGGCAGGGCCGGGCGGUUAAAGAGGAAGAGCUUAUAUAGGCUCCAUUGCUAAAUUAACCUAAUGAGGUGAAAUUUAUCUUCCCCUCCAAUUUGAAAAUAUUUUGAUUGAGUUCAGGGCACAGAGCCCUAGACAAUGAAAAUUAGUAUUCCCCUCCUAUUCAACUUGAGAAGAAUCUUGUCCUCACCUAAAGCAUCUCCUACAUUCCAAAGGCUAGAAGUCUGCUUUCUUCGUAUUUGAGCAUCUUUGCCUCUUUUACUCUGAAUAGAGAAGGAGCUGCUCUAGAAUGCCCUCUUUUGAGGUGCAGAUGAGGUGGAGGAAUCGGUUGUGCACAGUUCCUACUGGGAGGUAUAGUAAAGAAGGUAUAAUCAAUUGGUUUUUCAAACUGUAGCAUAGACACUUGUUUGCCACAGUGGGGGUAGGUACUUUUAGUAAUGAUGAAGAUGAAGAUUUCAGAUGAGGAUUUGGAGAGGCCAUUGGCCAUUUCAGAUGAAGAUUUCAGCCGGGUUUCAGCUGGGUUUACCCGGGUCAACCAGGUUUCGGGUCGACCCGCCGGGUCUACGGGGUUUCACCGGGCCAACUCCCAAGCUAGUUUUUUCUUAGACCCAGACCGGUCCUAGGCCAGGUCGGCUGGGUCCCGGGUCGACCCGUUGGGCCGGUCCGGGUUUCAAAGUGUUUUUCGUUGACUAGAAAGUAUUUUCCGUUAACUAACUUUUCUAAUGAUAAACAAAUACAGGAAAGUUUGAAAAAUGGUUUCCCAGAAAUUAGUUUCCGGGAAACAAACAUGGCCUUAGUAGACCUAGGAAGUCAAGUUUUCUAAUUAUCCACGUCAUCAAUCUCGAUCCCAUCAAAAAUUAAUUUGGUCGAAGAAAGAAAAAAAAAAUUAUCAAUUAUUUUCAAGCUUGUGGAACGGGUGUUCCUCCAUUUUCUUGUUUAACUGUUUUCUUUGCAGACUUGGGAAGUCAUAUGUUAUGAACAAUUGAUUUGAUCUUGUAAAAUUUAUGGCAGAAGAGAUUAGAAAAUGACUUCUUCUUUCAAUAAUCUUCUUCUUUGUGAAAUGAUUUCCCGAUACAGCUCUUAAUUUCAACACCUGCUUGCUCUUCUUUUCUUAGUAGACCUGGGAAGUCAAGAUUCCUAAAUAUCCACAUCAUCAACCUCGACCCCAUCAACAAUAGUGCCCACCAGGAAAAAUUAGUUUCUGACGGUGAGAUUUGUAUAGCUAGUAAACAUGCUCAACCAAUAAUCAUAAAUGAUGCCAAAAUUGUAGUCAAAGAGACUUGGAACUCCCUGAUGAUGGUCUCUAGCUCUGGAGGUUUAUUCUGCCAAAAUUGCAUGGGCCGUUUUACAGCCUUCGUAAUGGGCUUGGCUACUUUGGGUAAUUAAAAAAACCCAAAUCGAUAAUGUUUUUUUUUUCCUUCGGUAUCCGUUUAAUCAAUCUUCUGGUUUGAUCCUUGAUAGUGCUGUGUUUUGAUGCUUGUCGAUUAGCCACAAUAAUGUUAAAUUUACAAGGACAGGUCCAAGAAAAGCAAUGCAGGCCUGUAUUGGUCUCUGGGAGUCCGCUGAUAAAGGCUGCAAUCAUUGCUUGAACCCUUGUAAAGGGGCCUUUACACAUGAGGUCCACUGAAGAAGUACAACACCGUUUUUUAUUUAAUUCUUAUGGUUUAAAUCUACUAAUAACUUAGUCAUUUUGCAUGCUAUUUUCCACUUGUUUUGUAAAAUAGAGAAAAGAACAAAGUAAAUCUUUUUUUUUAGUUUAUGGCAUGUUCUCAAAAGUUUUAUUGAUAUUAAUUAAAUAACAAAGACAUUGAUGUAGCUGAAAAUUGAGAACGAGAGGGAUGAUCAGGAAUGGAUUAAGCAAAUUGGGCUUGAAAAAGACCCAACAGCAGAGAAAAAUCUGAAAUAAACUCUUGAUGUUCAAAAUAGCCCACAAGCAAGGCUUAAAUAGUUAGGGCUGAGAAAAUUACCAAAAUAGGUAAAUACUGAUUAUUCAAUAAAUAUAGAAACUUCCUGGAAUAAGUUUGAUAUCCUUUAAUUUUUUUACCGUCUUAGAACAGUUUAUCCUGUUCGAUUCCGCUUUGCUUCGACCGACCACAAUGAUCCCAUAUCCAUCUAUACAAAAAUCGAUUAAGCUGUCCGUUGACACAUUAACUUCUCUGGCUCCAUUCCAUCCUGGAUUAGCAAUCUUUCCCGGAUCAUUUAUGCCCGUUAGAACUGUUAAGCAUGUUGGAUAUUUUGCAUAAUAAGCUCUCGGGUCCUUUAUCCUCUUGUUUGUCCAAUUUAACUUUCAUGGCAAACGAUGCAAAAUGCUAUCUAUCUUUUUUUUGUUUUUUAACUCUGGGUGUCCGGGUCAGUUUACGCGCACCACAACUAAUCUCAGGACCUACUGAACAUCCUGCAAGCUCAGUAGGCAAAUAAAGUACCGCCGGGGUGACAGACUGGUGCACAGCGAGGAUCGAACUCGGGCAAUUGACCACUGAGUUAAACCCUCAAGUGUCAGCCCUACAACUUGGCCUAGUAUUCAAUAUUUUGAUAAGUCAAAUCUUGUACUCAGAGGCGCAACUAAGGGGUGGCAAGUAGGGUCGGGCCCUGCAACCACCCCUACAAAAUAUUUUAGAAUUUAUUUUUAUUUCGUUAGUUAUUUAUAAAUUUAAAAUUGCCUCUUCGUAUAAGUUGGAAAAAAUAAAAGAUAAAUAAUUUUUUCAAUUUAAUUACUUUUCUUUAUUGUUUUUUUAUUUCCAUUCUCUAAAAUCCUAACCAAAAAAAUAUAAUAAUACAAAGCAAAAAGAAAAAGUUAAAACAAAGUUAUCAAUUAAUUCAUUGUUCAUUGAAACAAGAUAAUUAAUGACCCAAAUUUAAAAUCUUUUGUUUUUUUUGUUUGUUAAGAAUUUGCUUAGAUGUAUAUAUAUAUAAUUAUGCUUCUUUUUUUUAUAGAUCUACUAGGUUUAUCAUUUUUUUAUUUCUUGCUAUAGUGAAUGUUGUUUUUUUGUAAUGAAUUGGAUAUAUUUUAUGGGUUUAUUUUGAUUAUACAUAUAUAUUUUUUUGUUUUGUUUUUAGCAGAAUCGUUAAAAUUAUCAAUUUUUUUCUCACAUAUACCUUACUAUCACCAGAUCCAAUAUAUAAUUAGACACGAUUUUUCUAGCCAAAUUAAGUUCUUUGAAAAACACAUGCCUAGUUUUAAUUCAAUUUAAGUUUUCUUUUUUAGAAAUCAAUAAUUUCAUUUUUUAUGUUAGAUUUGUUUUUAUAUAUCUUUUUUUUUAAUAUGUUGAUUUUGCUUUUAUAAGCCAAUAUGGUUUACAUGUAACAAAUUAUAUUUUAUUAUAUUAGUUUUGACCCUUCCUGUUAAAUAAUCUCAGCUACGCCCCUGCUUGUACUGAUGGGUUUGCCUCAAGUAGGCUAUUCUUAUCGUGAAAAUAAGUUCACAAACAACAUUGCAGAUUAAUCUGUCGAGUUCUCAACAAAAAGACAGUCUUACUCCUAUCGAGAUGAUCUUCUUCCUUUCAUGUCUGGUAUUGAUUUUUCUUACAACGGAUUCACUGGCAAAAUCCAACCAAAUUUUGAAAUUGUAAGUGAGCUACGAGCGGUAAAUCUAUCACACAUUAAUCUCAUUGGAUCCAUCCCCGCAACUCUUUAGAACCUGAAGCAGAUUGAGAGUUUGGAUCUUUCUCACAGCAAAUUGACCGGUACGGUACCAUCCCUUCGCAGCUAUUGAGGUGAGCACAUUGGAGGUUUUCAGUGUUGCAUACAAUAACUUGUCCGGUAAAACUCCAGAGAGGAAAGCUCAGUUCGGAACCUUUGAUGAAAGUAGUUAUGAGGGAAAUCCUCUUCUUUGUGGACCUCCAUUGCGAAUUUGCAGUGAAACAAACUCGUAAUUGCGCAGCCUGUACCUAAUAAUGAACAAGAAGAUAAUAAUGGUUUCGUAGACAUGGAUGCUUUCAUUGUGAGCUUUGAGGCAUGUUACAUAAUUGUGUUGUUGGCAAUUGCAGCAGCUCUUUACGUAAAUCCUUACUGGAGAAGAAGAUGGUUUUACUUCAUUGGAGAGUGCUUAAGCAAUUGCUACUGUUUUCUAGUGGUUAAUUUCCGUAAGCUGUCCAACAUCAUGUCAUCGGACCUCUGUAUAAUCAUUCAAUUAGAUGACACAUUUAAAAAUUUUAAAAACUAAUAAUACUAUAACUAUGAAGAACACCUAAAAUAUUUAAUUUUAUUCUUCCAAGUCUCUGCUAAACUAAUGAUACACAAUUGUGGUACUAGCAAUUGCGGGAGUUUUGUACAUAAACCCAUAUUGGCGACAUAGGUGGUUUUACUUCAUUGAAGAGUGCAUGGAGACUUGCUACUUUGAAUUGCAUACAUUUCAUAAGCUAUCCUCCUUCAUAAGGCCAUAGGGUCUGAUGCGUGCCUUUUGUUUUUUCAUAUUUUUUAGUUUGAACUAAUAAAACCUUUACUUUUUUUCAAGCUUCAGUUCAUUUUAUUGCAGUUUCUCAAAUGAAUUCUACAAAUUCAAGAUAUAUAUGCAUCCUUAAUGCCAUAUUAAAAAGAAUAUAUAGAUAGAAGAAGAGGAGCUUUACGUGAUAUGGAUAGCGUGAUGCUCCUAAGCCUAGAACCAGCUAAAACUUAAUAUUAUGAUGAAUAAUUCAGCAAAACUUAAUUCAAUUUCAACUUCCAAUCUCAUCAUUAGUACAAAAUGCAGAGUCAGAUUGAAAGGAAAUUGAUUGGAACUUGAAAUUCAGGUAACAAUACUUCUAGCAGAGCUUCCUCCUUAGCCUCUCCCUAUUGUAUCUUCUUCGAGUGGAACUCUUAGCUUUUUGCCCUCCAAGAUAUAUGUUCUCAUCUUUCUCAAGUACUCUCUUUUCCAUCCAGCAUAAGCAAUCACAACUUACCUCAACGGAAAACUUUAUAGCCAACUUCAAGUCUUCAACCAAUAUUUAAAAGGAAUUUUGUCCUUUGUUUGAUAAGCAAAAUCAACAGAACCUGUCGUUGACUUUCUAGCUCAUAUAUAGCAGUAGCCAUUUUAAGGAGCAGAAACAAACACUGUAGAGAUUUAUCAUCACGAAAAUCUAGUUGAAGCCAACUACAUCAAAACUCCACAGCCAAUGUAUUAAUCUAGUUCUGUAAGCCUACACCUUUGGCAUUUUUAUAUAAACUUAUAUCCUAGCUUAAUAACAAGUAUUUUAGUUACUGGAAAAUAAAUAGAUAAGAUAAUCCUAACUUAAUCUAAAUUAAAUAGUUAACACAAUAACACAAAUCAAAACUCAGGAAACAAGAAACAAGUGUGAAUUGAGUUAAAACAAAUAUGAAAUCAAAUAGAGGAUGGAAAGUUUAUUUUUAGAUCAAGAAUAGCAUGUAUUAAAAAGAUAAUAAAUAAAAUUAGAGUAAUAACAUUGCUACAACUUAUCAUUAAAUUUCAUUUGCAAUUUCCUCUCAAUUUUCUGUAGUUUUGUAGAGACAAAGAUUAGUUGGUCCUUACGGGAAUUUUUCUUCCUUAAUUUCACUCCCAUUUUCCAAACGAUGGAAUUCAUACAACCUUUCGAUUUUAUUUCCACGUAAAAUCCAUUCUUCUGUAUCAAACAGAACAUAAUAAUGGGCCAUAUUUUAAUUUAAAUAUCUUUUUCCUAAUAUUUAAAGCCUUUUUGCUGGGAAAAUGGGGAUUUGAGAGAAAAGACAAUAGAUAAGAAAGGACAUAAAAAAAAGUGAGAGAAAAUGAUGGUGGGUCUUCAUUCUUCAAGGACCGUAUUGGAACUCCUUGGAGGCAUGCGUGAGAGGUGAAAUGGAAAAGUAUAGGGAUCAAAGUGUAAUUUCAAUGAAUAUAUAGGGCUUAAAAUACAAUUUACCCUUAAUUUUUCAUGGAUGACGCAGUCACAAGGGGAGGAUAGAGGUCAUUUCUGAAAUGAUAAGACAGGCAGUGACAAUAAGUAAAAUUUUGUAAAUCAUCAUCAAUAAGAAAUCAUGACGUGGGGACAGAUCAGACGGUUGAUAGUGACUCUUUUUACCCGCUCUCUUUCUCUCCGUGGGGGGUUUUAGGACAGUAUCGCGCGAGAUGCGCGGGUGCCGUGUUCUUACAUUUCCAAGGUGCAUAGUGGGAUCCAUGUCUUUAUCCAACCAAUUAAAAUCUUGUACUCCUUGGGACCCACUCGGUUUCUAGUUUUUUCUUUUUAAAAAAACAAAUUCAUAAAAGCCCUCAACCUUCGAGGCUCCUCUCAAGCUAGUCUCAUCUCUAUCAUAGCAAUAUUAGAAUUUUUAUUCAUUUUUAGUUAACAGAAAAUUUAAGUAAUCACUUGAAAUUUAUAUGGUUUUUUUUAUAUCACUUGAAAUUUAUAUGGUUUUUUUUAUAUCACUUGAAAUUUAAGUAAUCACUUGAAAAAAUUCUCAUUUUAAAUCGCUUGAAACUAAUUUUAUAAAGAAACACAACCAUCUUACAUUUUUAUAAUUUAUAUAAUUUGUUUAAUUACAUUAAAAAAUGAUAUAAUAAGAUGAAGAGAAAUCACAUAAAUGUUUGAUUUUAUAGCCCUUUAAAACAAACUCAUCAAAAUAUUUAAUCCAAAUUAUAGACUCUAAUAUGAAUAAAUAGAACUGGGCUAACUAAAAAAAAGCAUGUUCAUGUAAAAUGACUAGUCUGACUAAAAAAAUCUAAAUUUCAUUUCGACCUUUAAAUCAUUUUUAAAUUUAAACAAGAGAUUCUAGGUCUCAAUUCUAUAAAAAGGUGGCCUCGGCUUGAUGUUUGAGUCAAUUUCAUUCUAGUCUGCAUGGCAAUGGUCCCACUCAAUCGCAGUAUCCACAUGAGCAGAGUCUAAUGAACUACUCAACAUGCAUUUGGUUCUGGUAAUUCAAUUAUGCGAAGGGUGUAGGUUCGAAUUCUUCGACUUAAACGAACAUGUUUGCGUAAUUAAGUGUUCAAUCACGUACUUCGCUAUUGAAAACAUUUAGAAUUUAUCAACAAUUCAAUUAAGCAGGUAUAUACAGACUUCCAACAUCUGUAGAUAUCAUUGAAUCAUUAGUGAACACUGAGUAGACCGAGAUCCAGAUCAAAAUGUGUCACUUAAGCUCUUAAUAUUACAGAAAACUUACAAUUGCCCUGAUGGUUAGCACAAAAGACCGGCUUGGAGUUCAGACUAGCCAAAUUGCCCAACUCUUUAAGCCUGAAUUUUAUCACCAUCAUAAAAUGGGGAAAUUAGUUUAGAUAUACAAGGCGAAAUGGAAUUAAUUACCUCACAUUUUGAACUUCAGAUUGGUAAUGCAUGACCACUUGCAGGUCCUCCUAGUGUUAGAACCACACCUUGAAGAUCACUUCUUGGAUUUGAUUCUUUGGCUAAUGAUGGAGCAGCUCUGAUUACCGGAUAUGUUCUGGUCACUUGAGUUUGUCGAGAACUAUGACUGGAUUCUUGUCCUGAGAAUGUUGUUGGAUGAUGAGAAGGCUUCAAGGUAUCAGUAUGAUUGGAGUUUGGAAAUUGAUGAACAAUGGGGAUUUGAGUUGCUGGUGAUGCAUGAUUUUGAGCUAGAAUUGCCCCUCUCGAUACGAAACCAGGUGCCUGAUAGAUAAAAUUAGGUUUCAAUUCGAGUUCGAAAUAUACUGCAACUGAGGAAGUAAUGAGGAGCUUACAGGUGAAAACAAGACCCCUCUGAAAAUCUUCCCAUUAACAGUUGCAGUCAUUAAAAGGCCUGAGUCGAAGGCUCCGUCAACUUUACCUCGAACUUCAGCACCAACCUAUGGAGAAAGAGAAGAAAGUGAAAAGCAUGUAUUAGCAGAACAGGAAGAAAAACAAAGACAGGAAAAAUUGUAAUCGACAAUGUUUUGCAUUGCAUAUAUCAACUUAAUGAUUUACCAGGUUUUGAAUACACCCUGGCUCCAUGGGUUUAUGUUCCACUGCUGGGAAUGGUGUUCCUUGCCUGCCCAACCCUGCAUGAACAUAUUGCUCUACUCUUUUAUUCUCUCUUGAAAUUUGGAGCCUUUGCCGGGUUUUUUGGAUCACAAGUCUAGGUAGUUUCUGAUUACUUGCAACACUAUCAGCCUGGUAAUUUCUUGGAAUUUUGUUUAACUGCCUAAAGAAAUUAAGUCCUUUGCAAGAUGUGAGGGAAUCAACUGAUUUCUGAACCGGUAUCUGUUCUUGGUCGGACUGAGACGGAGAUGAAUGGUGAGAGGGUGAAAGAGAAUGCUCUUCUUGUUCUAAAUCAAUCUCCCAUGCUUUUGAAUUUGUAGGUCUUAUCUUCUUAUGAUGCAGAGUAUCUGAAAGGAACGUUGUAGGUUUUUGUUAUUAAUACUACCUGAACUGAACUGAAAAGGUUGCUUUGAUUCUUCUGAUUCAUAUGAGCCCUUCAUGUCUAUUUCAUUGUUUCCCAGAAACAUUGACUGCUUCACAGAACAAAAUUAAUAACCCUCCCAACUUGAACAGGCAUAUUUAACAGGAGGUCAAGUGUUUGCAUUUUGAGAGUAAAUAGUUUAGUUACCGAAAUAUCUUCUGCUCCUGGGAGAAAUCUCUUUUCUUGAUUCCAAUGUUGUCCAAAGAUCUUGCACAUGGGAAUGUUGUAUCGACCAUUGGGAUGUUCUGCUCCAAGUUGCAAGACCAACAACUGAUUGAGAGGACGCUCAUCCUCUCUGCACCUGCACAUACAUACACACACACAUACAUACAUAUAGAAUUGAAUUAGGAGAUACAUGAAGAUUAUGGGAGGCAGUGUUGAGAACAGAAGCUGCAGAUGCGAAACAAAAACUUUCAGUUACCCUCCAUAGAUGACAAUAUCUGAGUCGGUGACAACCGCAGUGUGAGAAAACCUCCCUUGAGGUUGCUGGCCAGAUAUAUCAAGUUGAAUCCAUGAACAAGUACUCACAUCAAGCACCCAAACAUCAUUGUAGUAAUGUUUGUCCCCAACACCUCCAAUGACAUAAAGCUGCAGACCAUGGAAAGCACAUUAAAUCUCUUUCCAAAAGCCAACAAUUGAUAAAGGAGCAUCGAAGAAUCAAAGCCUUCAAGCAAAAACAGGUGAGCAUCAAUAGCACAGACAACAGAAUAGGGUAUAACAUUCCGAAGAAAAACUAGUCUAAUUUUCAAAUCUAUUUCAGUGCCAUGACUUGCCUUUGUUCCAAUAUAUAUAUAUAUUAGAGAUUGGUUGGUUAUUUAAAUUAAUUAUUGAUAUCCAUCAUUUUUUUAAUUCAAAGUUUUCUCUAUAGUUUAGGAAGAACGAGAAAUUUUAGAGAUUGAGAAACCCUAUAUUUUAUCCUUUGUUAAAUGUGGCAUCAAGUUAGGAGUAAGCCUUCUAGUUUAAUAGAUCAUAGAUAUAACACAAAUAUCUAUGUUCAUGUUAAAUAUUAAUGAACAAUGUUAUUUGGAUUUCUGUACUCUUAUAAUUGUUCAUUUGUAGAAUUGAUGGAGGUUCUUCAAUAGUUCUUCCAUGGAAUAGUUUAAAGAUCAGAUUUUAAUUACCUUCAGCAGGUAUGGUGCUAUGGAAGUCGACUCCGGUUAAGGAUAGGACUUUAAGAGUAGACAAGGGUCUCAUUUUCCUAAGAAAGCUUGCUGGGAGAGAAGAAUAAUCGAGGAACACUUCUUCCAGGCUAGACGAAUUACACAACCCUGUAGAACAGAUAAAAUAAAUCCAUUAAUAUAUUAUAAAUAUCAUAUUGUUUUAGGCACCAAAACUGUCACUGACCUUUCCCAAAGUGUUUAAAUUUACUACCACUUGCUUGUAAGGUCUUGAGGGAUGGCAACGCUCCCAAUGACUCUAUCAAAAUGCUUUCCUUGAAGUCAAUCAUUUCCAGAUACAAGAUUUCUAAAUUCCUUAAACCUGUGAUAUAGAGAACAAUCAAUAAUAAUUAUUUACAAUAAUUAAAUAAUUUUUAAUGUUAGAGUUAAUAUAUACAAGACAUAGCUUAAGUUAUUAAAUUAAAAUAAUUUUUAAUAUAAUAAUUAAAUAUUCACGAGAAUCAUAUCACCUUUAUUUAUUUUAAAAAAUUAAAAACAAAAUUAAUUAUGUGUAUAUUUAAGUUUCAAUUACUUCAAAAUUACUUCACUUAAAAAAUUACGAUAAAGAAUUAGUUAUAUAAAGCCUUUUUAAAGGUUCAUUUAAGCAAAUUAAUGGUCAAUCACACAUCUAAUUAUUAAACAAGUUAACUAAAGAAUAGAUUAAGCAAAAACAAUAUAUAUAUAUAUAUAUAUAUAUGUUCAACGAAAGUUAUGAUUAAGACACAUCUAAUUAUUAAAUAAGCUUAAUAAAAAAUAAAUUAAGCCUCACUAAAGACAUGCGCAGGUUCCGAGAACAAGUUGACUCUUGUCAAGGUGGUGAGCUCGGUGAAGGCAUUGUAAUACUCAGAGUAUGAAAAUAGAUAUGGAUCAACCUUUAAUGGGUUGCCCCCAUAGGUAAAGGUGGAGAGCUACCUGGACUCUUGAGACUAAGAGUGAGAGACUCACAGAGAAGUAAGGCGUGGUUCCUAGGGUGGAACAGAGGGCAGAUGCAACUCCUGGGUGAGUAGACUCUUGGAAGUAUGGUGAGCUCGUGAUCAUAUUGAGAUACUCAAAUAAUGACUGUCGCACUUGGAAAUGGAAAUUUCCGUUUGAGGGGGUGUUGUAAGCCUUGGUGUGAGGCUUGAUGAAUCAUUCCGGACCGAGCAUGGUUAAUACGCUCGAAGGGGAAUGUUGUGUCCCAGAGACAAGCGUGAACACUCUUCAGAUGUGAAGUGGCAGACCAUCUGGUUGUAGUGAUCCUUUUGUGUGAGAAAAGGUGUACUUUGGUGACUCUGGUGAUUGAAAGGUGUGGCAAGUACCUGUAAACUUGGCCGGAGAUGCUCUCGGAAUGGUAAGCUUGGAAGAGUUGCAAGAUGCAAGCUUGUGCUAAAGAAGUAAGCGGGCAACUGCCCAACAUGAAUGGCAAAGGGGGUGAUUGUUGGGUUGGUUGCCAUUGCAUGUGCAACCUACCCUAUAAAGAAGUAGGGUUACCAUUUGUCAAUGGUGGUUGCACCCACCAUUGACAAAUGUAUCAACCCAUGUGCGGCUGCUGUUAUUGAAGAAGAAGAGCCACCAUCCUUGCCUAUAAAUAGGCACCAAGAAAGAGAGCAAAAUGAGAGAGUUGUGAGAAUGUAAAGAGUGUGAAGAGAGAAAGAAAGAGAAGGGCUGCUGCCUUAUGCAGCUGCUGCCCUAUGCAGCAAUGAGAGAUGGGAGUUGAGUGGAUGUGAUCCUCCUCCAUGUUUGUAUUCUUUCUCUAUCUCUAAAUAAUAUAGACUCUCUCCCGUGGAUGUAGGCGAUCUGCCGAACCACGUUAAAUAUUGUGUCAGUGUGCUUGCUUUUCGUUGAGCAAUUAUCAGUACAUCACCGGUCGGAGUUUCCCCAACAUUCAUGUACGCCUGAAAGGAGCCAUGGAAUUUCAACAAUGCCAUCUCCAAGGAGCCAUGGAACUUUAAAGUGGGAUGUCGUGUACGCCUGAAUUGUAUAGUGACAAUGGUGGAACUGAUGCGGUUGCAUAGCACCAACCAGUACUUUCCUAAUGAUUUCCUUGCGGAAAAAAUUAAGGCAUGUUGGAAAACGAUGCCACCCUAACAAUUAAUCCAAGAGUUCAAAUUCAACUUGAAUAAAAGCACGAUAAAUGGAUAAUUUAGAGGAGAAAGGAUCCAAGAACAUCAUGAAGGGAUGGUUCUAUUUUGUUACGCAACAAUCUCAACAGCUAAUUAAGAGGUUAGAUUGUAGGGUCUAAUUUCAAGUGCAAGACUCUAUUGAUUCUCAUCAUUAUAGUAAUAAAACCAUGACCAUUUUUAUUAAAUUAAGAGGAAACACAAAAUUAAACAAGAAAAUCUUAAGAGUUCAGAAAUAAAUCUAACAUUGUCGAACAGACUGUGAGCAAACCCAGAUUUGGUGGAAGAUAGAAAUAUGAAGAGAGAGCAGAAAUUGAUGGUCUCCUUGUUUUUCAUGGUCUCCUUGUUUUGCAUUUAAGGUUCGGCCAUCUAAGCUUCUCAUUGGGUUUUAAUUUCCUGAGUUAAUUUCAUCAUGGCUGGACUUGAAUAUCUCUAUAUAUACACUUAAGGCUGGGUGAGCUUGUCUCUUUAGCAGGCCUUCUUAGGCUUUUGUUCUUUCAAACAAUGUCAGCUCUAAGCCCAUUAUUUUACAGAAAAGGUAAAAUACACUUGUCAUGGCUGAUUGAAAUCGUGGAAGAAAAAACUAGAGGAAAGAUAACCGAUUGACCCCCAACGAAGACCAAUGCAGAGGAAUUUCAAAGGGGAAAAAAGGUGGCGGCUUUAUGAUGCAGUUCAUCUAAAGAUAAACCUAAUCUGAAUUAAUUGUUCGGUCUCCUUCAAAGCGAAAUAACUUUGCCAGGUUUCCUCCCAGUGACAUUACAUUAUUAAAGUUAAAAGCGCUGAAGCACAAUUCAAAGACAAUAAGUAGUAUUAAACUUAAUAAGCUAGUUCAAUGGAGGAGAAUGGUGUGCUGAAACACUAUGAUUUUCAAAAAAAUUGAAGCAUAUCAGAUCCAUGCUGCUGCAUUCGCAAGAAACGAGCACCCAUCAACAAUGUGCUAAAUGUCAAUGCAGAGCUUUAAAUCAUCUACAGAGGCUCAUGAAGAAAAUAGGCAUAAAUGAUAACAGAUAACACACCAGAGCACUCUACGUAAACUGAUAUCUUUAGAAAAUUCAAAGGCAUGAAUGAAAAAGAAAAGCGAGGAAUAUCUAAGUCAACUCUUAAUUUGUAACAGUCCACAACUUCAUGUUUGGUGUGUACUGUAAACCAUGCUCUCCACAUAAUCACGAGCUUCAUCUGCAAAAAACCAUUUUCACUUCUGGGGACAAGGGAUCAAACAAAUAUAAACCUGUUGUUGGAUUACAUUCAUAAUUUAUAUCAAGCCCUAGCUGCUGCUCGAAGGUAAGAAUUGGCUGGUUGCUCAGCACAACAUAACUGAUACAAACAAUUACUGAUACAAGCAAAGGACAAACACAAGUCACAUCAAAACAGAAAGGCUAAGCAACAAGAACACUUCUCACAGGCAAAUUGCUAAACAUGUAGUUAGCAACCAUUGAUUUGGAAUGCGACUGCUUCUCCACAGAGGAUUACAACAAAUUCAGAAAGCAGCCCACACGCUCCUGAUAAGAUCCAAUCACCUUCUGAAUCUGGACAACUUGGGAAAGUUUAUAGCCAAAAAGCAGCAGCAAGUGUCAAUGCAUUCUUCAAUGAAGUAAAACCAUCUGCGUCGCCAAUGCGGAUAUAUGCACAGUACUGCUGCAAUUGUCAACACCACAGUUAUGUAACACCCACCAAAGCUGGCAUAGAAACUGUCCAUGUCUAUGAAGCCACCAUCUCCAUUGAAAUCGUUAGGCACUCUAGCGGAUGGUGAUUCUGUUUUGUCGCAACUUUUUUGCAAUGGAGGUCCACAAAGAAGAGGAUUCCCUUUAUAACUGCUCUCAUCAAAGGUACAAAUUGAUUUUUCAUCUCCGGUGUUCUUCCUGACAAAUUAUUGUACGACACGUUGAAAACUGCUAAAAGGUCAGUUCAACGAGUUGUGCAGGAAUUCUCCCAUUCAAAUUGUUGUGAGAAAGAUCCAAGCUCUCUAUCUGCUUCAGAUUGAGAAGGAUGAAGGGAUCAAUCCAGUGAGAUUAUUUGUGACAGAUUUAGAGAAUAUAUCCCACUUAAGUUUCCCCAUUCUGUCGGGAUUUCUCCAGUGAAUCUGUUACAAGAAAGAUCCAUAACAGACAUGUAACGAAGGAUAUCGCCUUCGUAAGUGUAGAAAUUUUUCUUUGUGUAAGCUCUACAGAUAUUUUUAC